RNAcentral lists this long non-coding RNA (69525 nucleotides) under Selaginella moellendorffii. RNAcentral's name for it is "long non-coding RNA (SMOE_LNC001194)". The record is from RNAcentral. Lineage: Eukaryota; Viridiplantae; Streptophyta; Lycopodiopsida; Selaginellales; Selaginellaceae.
UUUUUUUUUCUUUUUGUAUUUAGUAUGAAGACUACAUUAGCUCAUGAUUACAUAGUAUGAAAACAAAAUAAUCUCUAGUAGCAUUGAUAUUCCUCAAGAUGAAAAAAACAGAUGUUAAUGAAAAACAAUGUAAGAUAGAUGUUUUGUAUCCUCAAGCUAAAAAAAGUAAUAUUAGAUUAAAUAAUAGUGCAAGUUAGUUAUAUAUUUCACAACAAACUCAUGAUUCUUAUAUAAAAUCCAAAUGCAUCUAGAAUUUCAUCCAAACUUGUUAUAGGGUUUUUUAUUGAUUUCUACAACUUGGUGAGCAUUAUUUAUAAAAAGCAAAUUAUUAUUAAAAAUCAAAAUAUUUAAUUUUGUAUGGAUUUAAUUUUAGAUUAAAUAUGUUUAUUAAAUAACUUUCAAAGUUUUUAAAAUUAUUAAAUCAUUGUGGCUUGUGAGCACUUUUUUCAUUGGCAUUUUAUCACUUUAUAUUAACAAAUCAUUGGACGACAGAAAGUUAAUCAAAUAUGUACUUUUAUUGGUCUUAGCACAAAUUAUUUCACAUUAAAUUUAUUUUCUUUAUUAUAAUUAUUUUAGUUAAAAUUAUUUAUUCAGAUGUGUGUUAACCUUUUUCCUUUACUAGAACAAUAAUAAUUUUAAUUAUAAAGGUAAAAGAGUUAAAAGUAUAAUAAAUUUAUAGAUUUUAUUAACUUUAUUUUGUUUUUAAUAUAUUUUUUAUUUAGGGCUAUUCAUUUUCUGUUUAAGAUAUUUAAUUUUGUUCAAGUAAUAGACAUAUAAAAGAAUGAAUGAACCACAAUAUAAAAUUGUUUGUAAAGCUAUAUAACAUUUAUAUGAAUGUAAUUAAGAAAAUGGUAAACUUUAUUAACUUUAAAUUUAUGAUUUCAAAACAAACAUUAUGGGAGUCCUUAAAAGAUUUACUUGAACUUAAUGACCAUGACAACAUUUCAGGUUUCAUAAAAAUUUCAAAUUUUAUUCAACUUAUUACAUUAGUUUUCACUGUUGUAGCCUCAAAUGAUAGGGCAAUAACACCAAACAGAAGAAAUAGGGGAAGUCUUUUAUUAGCAGUAAAAAACCCCUCUAUAGCACAAGUAGAAGUUAUAAAUGGCUUUUACUUUUAAUUAUUACUCAAUAACUAAAAAUAAAAGUGUAAGCGACUAAAUUUUCCAUUCUACUUUAGUCAUUUAACCACACCUCUGACCACUUGGAGGAGUCUCAUUCAGAACCUCCAUAAGUCCAAUCCAGGACUUAGGACUUACUAGCCCCGAGAAUGACAUCCAUGCCACUCAACAUUUGCAUUUAUUCUAAGUGCUCCAUGUGUCCGAUCCCAUGACCGACACUCAAAGGUACCACCGACAUAGCAACCCGUUACGCUAAGGCCAUGCCUAAUCACCUUUGCCACACUGGUAGUCCAUUACCACUUGCAUCACAAUCUUGGCUCUCCAAGACUAGGCAAACCCUCCGUGAGUGGUCAUCUCAGAUCCACUCCUUAGCAUCCUUAGGAUGCCCACCGACAAGGGGAAUAGCUUUCCCCAAUAUCCCUCUGUCAGUCCCCACUAAGUCCCUUUCUGCCCUUGGCCGUGUUUGCCAACACUGCCACUGGAUCGAGACCCACAAGCCUGACCACUAAGUCCCAUGGUCCUCUGAGACUUCCUCACCACACGACUGUGUCCUUGGUCACUACCCCAGAGGACUGUUCCUCUUCCUUUCUACAGUCUAGGCCUUUGGGACAACAUUUCGGAACACCGUGGCCCUACGCGGGCCUCAUGGGUACUCUCCCUGCCUUUCGCCUUUGGGUGCUCUAGCCAUGGGCUUAGAGCGAGGUUCCGUUGAGCCACACCAGGUAUCCAAGUAGGUAGUGCCACCCACACUUGGACUGGGAGCAUCGGCCAGUCGAUCUCCCGGGGGAACUAGAGCCGGCUCUUGAACACUUCACCAAGCUACCCCGCUUGUCGGUCCGUGUUCACUCUAGUCUUGGACUUCCCAGUGGGCAGCUUUUCACCCAACACUGGGUCCGGCCUUCCUGGGCCAAACUGGCCUUUCCUGGCCAAAUUGGCUCCACUGCAGUCCUCCCCCUACUAUACUUUUGGAGCUCACCAAACCCCCCAGGGUCUGGGAGACAAACGCUUUGGGCUUUCACCCUCUCAGACUUAAACUCGAACUCGGACUCGGACUCGGACUCGGACUCGGACUCGGACUCGGACUCGGGCUCGGGCUCAGUCUCGGCCUUGGCUUUGGCCUCGGUCUCGUUCUCGGUCCCGAUCUCGGUCUCGGUCUCGGUCUCGGUCCCGGUCUCGGUCUCGACUUCGGACUCCAUCUCGGACUCCAUCUCGGACUCCAUCUCGGGUCCAUCUCGGACUCCAUCUCGGGUCCAUCUCGGACUCCAUUUCGGGUCCAUCUCGGACUCCAUCUCGGGUCCAUCUCGGAUUCCAUCUCGGACUCCAUUUCGGGUCCAUCUCGGGUCCACCUCGGACUCCAUCUCGGACUCUAUUUCGGACUCCAUUUCAGGUCCAUCUCGGGUCCACCUCGGACUCCAUCUCGGACUCCAUCUCGGACUCCAUUUUGGGUCCAUCUCGGGUCCACCUUGGACUCCAUCUCGGACUCCAACUCGGGUCCAUCUCGGACUCCACUUCGGACUCCAACUCGAGUCCAUCUCAGACACUUCCACGUGUCAUGUGUUGGUCCUUUUGGGUCCCUUUUUGGAGCCUCGCUUUUUGUUCGCUUCGUGCUCGUUCCUCGAGCACUUCGUUAGGAGUUCCACUCCCACUCUCGACCUUUCAAGUCGGAGUGUUACACUCGUUUGGCUUUCGCUUCGGUCACUACCACGUGGCACCCUUCCGGCUCCACUUUGGGGCCUAGGGAUUUUGUGUCUCACAAAAAGUUUCUAAAGAUUUAGAGAAAGUUAUUAAACAUAUUUACUAAACCUGAAAGUAAAUCAUUAAAAUAUUGAAUCUUUUAAAUUUUUCAUGAUAACAAUUGAAAUUUUUUACAUAAGGAAACAAUACCCAAAAUGACAAUAACAAAGGUGUUCAAGUUCUAUAAACUAAUAACAAUUAAAUCUUUUAAACCAUAUAAGUAAUAAAAGGUUCAUAGCAAAUUUGAAUAAAUUUUAGAUACAUUUAGAUUUGAUAAUAAGAUCAAGAGUUUAUUAUAAGGUUUUUAAUUAACUUAUACUAUUAUUUAAUUUAACAUUACUUUUUUUAGCUCAAACAAGUUUACUUGUUUGUGAAUUAAGUUAUAACCAUAUAUACCUUCAUAUUUUAUUCAUAAAAGGAGUGAGAGUUAUAUUUGUGAAUAUUAGUAUUUAUAUAUUUGUUUGAGUUUAUUCAUCCACUAGGUUUUAGAUUUGAGUUAAAAUUUAAUAAAUUUUUUCUUUCCAUUUUUGAAAGGUUCCGCAAUGUUGUUCAUUUUUAGUUUAAUGUAGCCAUUAGUGUCAUUUGUGGAAUUUUUAAAACUGUAAAAUUAUAUAUAUGUUUAAUUUUAAGUUUAUCUUUGUUAGUUUGCUCUUGGAUAAUUUAAAUAUUUUUCAAAAACUUAUAAUUUAGUAAUUUAGUAUCAUCUAUUAGUAAUAUGGUAAGUUAAAUUAAGUUUUAAAUAUUAAUAAAACUGAAAAAUUGUUACAAUUUAUAAAUUCUAUAAAACUUUUAAAAGACUUUAUCGCUCGUAAACCGUGAAAUUUGAAAUUAACAAAGUAUAUUAAUUUUCAUUUACAUACAUAUAAUCAUAGUAGAGCUUUUCAAAAAAACAAAAUUAUAUUUUGAUUCAUCUUAUUUUAAUAUUUAUUGCUUAAAACAUAAGACAAACAACUUCUAUACUCAUAAAAUGUUAAAAUGAAAAUAAUAUUAAUUAAAUUUAUAUUUUAUUAUUUUAGAAGAAAAAAUGGGUCAAUAAUACAAAGUGGUAAAAAGUUAUUAGAAUUUGAAAAACAAUUAUUCAUGAAAUCUACUUUUUGUUAAAAAAAUUCUAUAAUUAUUUUUAUUCUGAAAAUACUUGUGAUCAUAAAAAAAACUAGUUGACGAAGUUUUAAAUUUUUUAAAAUAAAAAGUGUAGUUUUAUUUUAAUUUGUUUAUAUUAUUAUAUCAUGCAUCUGACUUUUAGUAAAAAAAAGCCAAUACACACUAUAAAGUGCCAUGGUUUGAAAGAAAUCAAGAGUUCUGCAUGGUACACCACAGAGUUAUGAAAAGGAUCACAGCUAUCUAAGAAAAAAAAAAAAAAAAAAAGCUUCACUGUGUAAAAAUUAAAUGCUUUGGGAGAGGAUCAGCGCUGCGGCCGCGAUAUUCUCGGAUCAGGUGCGCAAAUCGCAUGGAUCAAGGAAUGCGGCGGCGCCAGAGAUCUGGAGCGAAUCCACCAAGAGGCAUUCGUAGCGGCUAUGGAUGCGGCAGCCUGGAUGAUGCGAUCCAUCUUCAACGCCAUGGGAUGAAGAAUCGCGACGUGGUGUCGUGGAAUUGCUCUAGCCAUCAAGAAGAUCUGCGGGAAGGUCGUCAAGCUCAACUCUCCGCUUUGAUAUCCACUCGAGAAUCCUCUCCAAGAGCAGCUUCGCUGAGCUACACAACCAACACGCUCAUGGACAUGUACACGAAGUAUGGGUAUUUGACAGGGUGGUUUCGCAAGACGUUUCAUGGAACGUCUUGAUGCUUGGCUAUGCUGAGAACGGAGAAGAGUCUCUUAUGUUGCAGCUACUCCAAGUGACGGCUGGUGCUGCAAGCCCAAGGCUUGGGGCUGUCUCGCCGCCAAAGUAAAAGAAAAUCACUGAGCAGCAUUUUCUCUAUUGCCUCGCUCCUCGUGUCAAACUAUCCUGAGCUUGGAUCUCCUUGUGACGGUGCUGGCAUGCUUGUCAAUCUAGUACUUUCUCACAGGUGAGACAUUCUUUUAGCUUUCAGAACUUGUCAACUCCUGGUGCUCGCGAUGCAGAUCUCAACUUGUAGAAAUCACCAUCCCAACUAUCCUAUGCAUUUUAACGUUAUUGUGCUCUGUUUUUGAAAAAAAUCCAUCAUCAAGGUACUUGGUCUAUUUUAUUUGCUUUUUUCCAAAGGAUUCCAUCUGAUACUGCAACGAGAAGCCGAGAAUAUGAUUGUGGAGGCAUAAAUUGCCUUGUUGCUCGUGUUCCUCUCAACUGAAAGGUACUACGUCGCUCAUAUCAAACUUAGGCCAGCAAUUCAAAGCUACUGGAUGCUCUCUUCCGGUGGCACAAAUUACGAUUUAUAAGUGGCAUGGAUUAUUUUUUAAUGAUCUUUUGGCUUUGAUGUAUAUAUUUACUCUCCUUUGGAGUGUGUAUAAUGCUGUAAUAUGAGGACCAGAAAGUCUCGAAAUCUAUAACAUGGUGUUGGGAAAGUAAUUCCAGGGAGAAGUUACAUUAGAUGAUGAGAGCUACUGGUGCUUUCAAGAGUGAUUCCAUUUGAAUGUACUAGGUUAACCGCAACUUUGGGGGACGGAGCACGACAAACAAUCGCCGAGAGAUUGCCAGGGCUUUGACACAGUUAGAUCGCACUAAAGAGAAAUAACUACACACCAUUUGAUCAUCAAAUUAAGGAGGUGGCUGACAAAUCGAAAGUGAAAGAGAACUAGAGCUGUUAUACAGAUAAGUGGUGGAGGACUUUACUGCUAACACUCUCUCCUGUUUAGCUGAGUCCUGCAACAGCUAAUCAAUCCUUGCUAGUCUGCUCGAAACACUAGUAUCCUUUAGCUGAGUCCUCCUGGCUAAUCUGCUGUUACGACUAUGCCUGCUGCAAGUAAUCUUCAACACCUCUAUAUCUAAUUUGUUGCCAAUCUCCUGCUACCAAAAUACUAGUCUCCUUAGCUGAGCCCUCUUGGCUAAUCUGCUACUAUAUCUAAAGACAACAUUCUUUCCUCUACCCGCUUCCUAGCUUCGGCUAUACUUAUCGGCUACUUCGGCUAUACUUCGGCUAUACUUCUCUAAACACCUGCUCAACCUGCUUCUACGUAACUAAUCUUCAUAGUCCAUCCCAGUACUGGACUAUGUCCUGCUCUAUGGUUGCUGCUAACUUAAUCCAUGUCCUCUGCCCCCCACACCUGUUUGAUGCUGCCUUCGUUACUUGACCACUUCUGCUUCGAAACUGCUGUGUAAUAACUUCUGCUUCGAACGAAACGUGACCUGCUUAAUAGGAAGCGAGGAAAUAACAGGGCGUGAAGCGGCAGGGGAGCGAAGUGAGUGGCGCGGAGGAGGGAGGAACAAACAACAUCAGCAGCGGCAGCAGCAGCAAGGACAUAAAGUCUUACGCUUCUUGAUGGGCACCACAAGACUAUAAACAUCGGCAUGGUCUGUUGGGUAGAGGCCCUUGCAGAUGAAUCCACAUUCCCAUGUUGCCCUCCGCCAUACAGGAACCAUACGGAAAAUAAGUCCUUCGCAUUGUUGGCCAGCUUGGACAGCAUGGGUUCCAAGUUCCAGCUCCACCAUAAGCUAUGUUCCAGCCCCACCAUUUAGCAGCCUGUAUAAAAAAAGACAUAAAACGCUGAGAGAUUGACAACGAAGAAACAAGGAAAUCGAGAAACAAUACCUUUUCAUCUCGGCCACCCAGCUUGAGAGCACAAGCUUACGGCAUUGAGAGAUAAGCUUCUUCCAAACACACCAGCCAGUCGAGAUAGUGGCUGUCCGAGCCCCUUAAGAUAGAAGUCGUUGCUCAAGCUCUUCAGCUCGUUCGUCUCCUUGGUGUGGAGCUUCUUGGGAUCUAGCGUCACCUUUUAUCCAGUCACGUUGAGCAUCUCGCGCUUGGUUUCCAGCUCCUCCUCCUCCUCCGCUCUGAUCUGUCGCAUCAGGCAUUUGAGUUCCAGUUCCUUCAGAUCAUUCGCUUUGCGUUGCUCGGCGACCGAAGUGUUGAGUCGCUCGACCACUUGAGCUGCAUUGAAGUCCUGGAAGCAAAACACGAAAAGAGAUUAGCAAGAAUAAACAGUGAAGCUCAAACUAAGAUUGCUAGAAACUCGAGGCUAAGGUUGCUGAGAACCCGGAGAUGCUACGCAGAAAAGCUUGGAGAUAGAAGCAAGCUGAUGGAAGCAGAAAAACUAAAAAAUAAAAGCAACGUAAGUUCUCGGAGAUGGAAGCAACUUAGAGACGGAGAUGGAAAAACUCAAAGAUGAAAGGUUGGCUAGGAAUAGCCAAGGAACAAACUCCAAGGAGUGCGAAGAAGCUCUUAAAAAUUGAUUCAAGAUUCACGAUCGAUGCUACUGUGAUAACAUUUGUAACUGUGUGUGUAGCUUGGAACUCUCCCACUUCUUUCGACGUUAAAUUCUGGCUCACAAACCGAGUAAGAUUUAGAAAACUGCGAGAAAACUUACCAAGAGCCGAAGGACCGAGAGACGUGGCGAAGGAAAACGCUGGUGGAUAACGGAACUACGAAACUUGUCCUCGCAGUUCCCGGUGCUGGUCACCUCCUCGAUCAUCUGGAACGAGCUGUAUCAGCUGCUGCUGCUGCUGGCCGCCGUGAUCUUGUUCAGGAGGAGGAGGAGGAGGAGCAAUGAUCUCCGUGUCCACAGCAAACUCCACCCAUUUCUUGGACUUGACGAACAUGAUCGCCGGGUACAAGACGAUCCCCACGGCAGCCACGCCGCAGCUCACAAAGAUCGUCCGCAUGGAAGCCAGGCACAUCACCAGCACCAGGAACGCCGAGGGUGGCAGGCAAAACAUCACCACCCCGAGCGUCCCGAGCUGGAGCUUGAACGGCCUGUGGAGAUCCGGGCGCUUCACUCGCAGCCAGAUGAAAGCCGCGAACUCGAGCAGCAUCCCCACGCAGUAGAGAAAGUUGAGCAGCUCCACGAUCUCCUGGAAAGUCAUCCACGACAGCAGCACCACCCCGGUGGCCGAGCACAAAAUCCCCAGGACUGGAGUGCCGUGCUUGGAUCGCCUCGCAAAGAUCCUGGGGAGCAUCCCAAUCUCCGCCAUGCCCAGGAGCUGGAAAGAGUCGCUGCUCAUCUCGGCCUCGAAGAGACCCAUGUUGGACAGCGCCGCCGCGGAGUUGAUCCACCACUUGAGCCACUGCCCUCCAAUCUCCCGGCCGAUGUCCGCGAAGUAGCCAUCCUCCCAGUCCUCGCGGUGGAGAUCCAGCACUCCAGUGCCCGCCAGCAGUGGAAUGAUAUACGAGAUCACCACCAAGAGCACUGCCGCGAAGAGAGCUCGAGGAAACGUCUCGCUGGGUCGCUCGAUCUCGCCGGCUAGAGUGCUGGCCUUGUCCCAGAAGUUUAGAUUCCAGAAGAGGCUGUUGAGGUACCCGCGCCACUGUGUCUCACGGAUGCUCACGACGAUCCAUCGCCGCGGUUUGAUCCGCGGAAGAGCUAGAAUCCCCAUGAUCGCGAAUGGCAGCAGCGAGAAGAAUGCCAAGAGGAUGGCCGCGAAGCCGACGAUGGUGAGCCCCCUGUAAUUCACGAAUGUGAGCAGCGCCGUGAGGAUCGCGAGCGUGGGGUACCUCGCGGCGGCGGUGGCGAAGACUGGCACCGAUCGCUUGAUGUAGUCGAGGAAGAGGACCGGGUAGAGCGCAUUGUCGAUGACGCCGCUCAGCCACUUCCAGAAUCCCUCCUGGAAUCCCCAGAAGGGGCCAAAGGCGGCCGAGAUCCAGAGGACGUAGCCGCCGUUGGCUGGAAACGCUGUGGCGAGCUCCGCCGUGAUGAGGGCCUCGGGGACGCUCCACAGGAAGGGGAAGAUGAUGAACCCUAGAAUCGCCAGCAGUGGCCCGGCCGCCCUCACGGAAUCCUCCACCCCGAACGGCCCGCCAGAGACCUCGUAGAAGAUGAGCGCGACGAGAGGGAAGAAUGAGAGCUUAGAUCGCUGCUGAUGCUCGCUUGCCUGGAAUCGAUUGAUCGACGAUUCAUCCAUCCAAGAUUUCCUGUUCCAACCUGUGCUGGGACGAUCUACAUCGGUGGAGAUGCUCUGCGAGGCCGCGAUCACGGCGGCGGCGCCACUGCCGCCACGGCUCUCGAGCGUGGCGCCUCUUCAUCCCAAAACCCUGACCUAAACGAAUGUUCACUUUGUUUGAAAAGAUUCGCGCGGGAAAUUGGUAUAAUUCCUUCCAUGUGACGGGCAUGAUUCCGCGGUAUCUUUUGUUUUCCUCUUGGGGCUCGGGUUCGAUCCAUCAUGGGCUUUUCUUCUUUAAUGAAAUUGGCACCGUUGGAUUCACCCGUCAUCGCGACUGGACGGGCAGCCGUACGCGUACCAAGCGUCGAUCGUACUCGUCGCGCGUUUAAGCAUUUUGGUUUUAAACCCUAACUCUUCGUCCUCGUUUCCCCUCUUCCAGUGUGGAGAAGAAAGAGAGGAGCGAUCGAUCGAUCCCAAUGCAAUGGCGCCUUCUCUUGCGCGCUCCUCGGCGACGCUCGCGCUGCUGCUGCUGCUGCUGCUUCUAGCGAUCGGCAUUGAAUCGACAUCGCGCGGGGGAGUCAAGAAUCCGGUAAGAAAAUCCGGAAAUCCUCUUCUUUUCUCUCGAUCCCUCCCCUCCUCAUCGAUCGCUCACGAAAUAUCUCGAUCCUGGCAGAUUAUCACCAGCGACAACCGAAGAUUUCUACUCCGGCGCUCCGCGGGAUUCUCGACGUCGUUCCACUUGAGCUGCCCGGGCGAUGAUUGCCGCCAAGCUCCGGGGCACGAUGCCUUCGCGGCUUCCGACCGCCUGGUGCCUUCCGGCCCGGAUCCUCUGCAUCAUCGGAUCAGAGUCCACAAUUGAGGCGCACAGAGGUUCUUCGUUUCCUGCGAUCUCAUCUUUCUUCUAGAGUAGUAUCGUAGUGGCGGCGCGGCAUUGCUACUGCUGGAGAAGCCACAAAGCUCUUUUUGCUCCGACACGUAUCGGUUUUGGACAGUUUCUUGAGAUGCUGCUCUGGGUGUGAAGGUGGGAAUUCGGUGCUCGUCGCGGACAGGGAGAGGGAGAGGGAGAGGGAGAGAGUGAGAAGUUAAUUGCGGCUGUCGCGCAGGCAGCCACCUCUCUUCCUUUUGGAGCUGCUGCUCAUCAAUGGCACCGAAUUUCCCCAAAGCAAGCUCCUUUCUUCCUGGCUAACUUUUCCUUUUGCUUUGUUUCUCUCUUUUCUUGGCAGAGCCGCAUUACAGAGUUCUAGGCAACGUGAAUGCUGUCUGAUCCAGGUACUCUGACAAUGUUCUUCUCCUUGACAUGAUUCUUCCACUGUUUUGUCAGAUCCCAGAGCGUGAUCCCAGCUGAUCAAAAUAUGUUCUUCGACUGGUCCAAAGCCAGAGCAACUUGGUUCUUUCAGGUACUGUGAAUCGAUUCACUUAGACGCAGGUGUCUACCUAGAGCAGAGAGUUCCUUUGCUUUGGUCUAUAGGUGCGUUUGUUCCUUUCCAUUUGUUCCUUGUGCGCUUGUCAGUAUAGACUACCAGCUAGUAACCAUCCAUCCAGUGCCUCUGCUGAUAGAAAAAGGAAGAAAUUUUUGUCUAUCCUCUCCUUUUCCAGUGAUAGUGUCGGGACAAUGAGAGUGUGAAGGGAAUGUGUCUUUAGCUGUUUUAUUCGUUGUCUGUUGGAAUCCACAUGUGACAAACCAUGGGCGAUAGAAAAUCUAUUUCCUUGAUAUUUGGCUAACAAACUCUCAUUGUUACUCGCAGGCCUGGCCAGCCAUAUCCAUGGAUUAAGCUUUGGAGAUCGAGAUGGAGCCAGGGAAGAAAAUAUCGAGAAGGGCCGUGUCCUUGCUAAAGGUUCCAAUCUAAACCACGCUCCGGGAAGAUCCAGGUACUAAACGUGGGUAUCUUAUCUUAUAUUCUCUCGCAGAGGUUCUUUCUUGUUAGCGGCACGGAGCCAAAAGUUUCUCUCCGUCCGUACGCCAAGGACACGCCUAUUGAAGGCAACCACAUGGGCUAUAAAAAUACGAUAGGUACUACCAUUGAUGGAGAUGAUCUCGUCGUGUAGAAGCGCUUCUUCUCUUCUCUUCUCUCCGAGCAUCUUGUAUUUAUGAAUGGAACGCGAAUAUGCGUUUCCACCAUUUAAAACUUGCCUGACCGUGCGUGGGUUCCCAUGAGGAAAUCUUUUUCAAAAUAGAAAUAGAAUUUUAGAAAUAAUGGAUCAUAUCAUAAUCAUGUGAAAUUUCACACAACAUUAGCAUUAACGGGGAUUAUAGGACGGGCGAGAUGCGGAUUUUCGUGAAGGUUGGGGUAAUGGUUGACAAGUGGAAUUUCAAACAUGGGAUGGGAGAGGCAUCACAAGAUCAUCAAAACGGCUUACUAUAAUCCGUCAGUCUCAUGCUUCUUGGUGGGCGCCACAAAACCCAGCUAAUGAAUGAAUGAAUGAAAUGCAAACACCUUUCCACUUUAGAGAUUCAUGAAACUUAUCUUCCAGCUUUCCAAUCAAGCUAAGCCAUUGGUGAAAUCAAAUAUCUCUUGGCCUGCUAAGAAUGGUACUUGGUGCUUUUCAGCCCAGAAUCUGGCAUCCUGAAGUGGAAGGGCUCCAAAGUCAUCACCCUCAUUACACAGCAUCACACAGCCAACCUAGAAGGAUCAGUUAGCAUCUACAAAUUACAGGAAUAUCAAUCAGAGGAAAAAGAAUCAUACAAAGCUAACAGAAUUAAAACGGUCAAAGGAAAAAGGAAAAAGGAAAGAAAAAGAGAAAAGCUUGAGAGAAAACAUGCAAGUUAGCAUCUUAAUAUCAUAGAAAGCACAGGAAUAUCAAUCAGAGCAAAAAGAAUCAUACAAAGCUAACAGAUGAUUACAACAGUCAGGAAAAAUAAUAGAGAGAAAAAGCCUACCAUGAGAGGAGAGAUCCCUGCUGCUUUGGCAAGGGCCACUGAUAGCUCAGUGUGGCCCUGCCUAGCUCUCAAGCCCAAAGAGUUCUCCACACACAGAAAAAUAUGGCCUGGAGCAUGAAAUUCUCUCCCAAAUGCCUCUUGGGCACUUGUAAGAGGCUUGACAAUACCACCAUUGCCAUUGGAGGCACAGCUGUGCUCGCCCCACAGGCCAGCCAGGCGGCGACACGUGUAGCUCCUCUCCACGUCGGACGCCCCAGUCUUGAGGCUCCUGUGGUCCAAAGAGAUUCCAACCGAGCAUGAGCCCUGGCACAUUACCGUACCUUUGGCACUGCACUGCAGCACGGGGUGGGAAUGGGCCAUGGCCAGCACCUGACCCAUGUACGGCAGCCCGAACGUCGUGGCCACCUCGCUGCCAAUGGCGAUGUAGAGCUCGCCCCCGGCCUGCGUACGGAGAGUACGGAGCGCGCCCGGGGUGGUGGUGGCCGCCGGGAAGAACAAGUCGGUCUCGCCCUCGCGGCUCUCCGAGUCGAGAAUGGCGACGCAUUUGCCACUGGCCAGAGCUUCCAGUGCCUGGCGGAUGAUCGAGGACGGUGGCAUUGCUCGCGUGAUGCUGGGAGAGAACUUUAAAACCAAAGGAAUGGAAUCACUUACGAACUUCUCGAAGAAACCAAUGUAGAAGCUCGAGAAGCUAAAAAACGGGAGAGAAAAAGAGACCUGAGAAAAGGAGCAAGCGUUAGAUAUUUUGAUGAAACCACGAAACGAUUAUAAAGGGGAAGAGAGCCAUACCUUGUUUGUCUUUGUCUCGCAGGCGCUGGUUGAAACAAGACAAAGAAUUAUCUGCAAGCGCACGAAUCUUAAGGCCCAGAGCGCUCGAGCUGCUGCGAGUGGUCUUUCGCUGACACCGAUAAUAAUGGAGUGUAUCAUAAGUAGUCGUCGGCCUCGGAGAAAUAUGGUUGGAACAUUUCCUCCUCCCAACAGUGGUCUGCUAUAACUUUGUAAACUUCCAUGAGGAGCUUCGGAAAUCUAGUCCGGAAGUAGCUCUCGUAGCCUUGAGGAAUGCUUCCUAGUAUUUGCUGCAAAGAAACCAAAAAGAACUCAGCAAUUCGGUAGAAGAAGAGAAGUAAACCUUGGGAGAAAAGAGUUACCUGUACAUCGGCAGGAAGCUCCCUGUAAUGGUUCGCCUUGUUACGAAUGACCCUGAGUAAAUCCCGCACGGCCUGAUAGUUAUAUUGCCUGUAGCGGCCGAGGUUGUUGAUGAGUAAAGGGUCCAGCUUCUCAUCCCAUGCUCCGCCCAACGCAGUCGGAGCCACGGCCUCCAGCGCAGUCAGUACCGCCGAGCUGGCUUCUCUAUCCUCGCGUUCGACACGAUCGCUAGCAGUGAUGAGAAACUGCAAGCGCUGUUGCGGGGGCCAGAAAAAUGGAUGAAGCUUUACUUGCAUAGCAGUUGGUCUGUGUAAAACAGAAAAGGAUUGAUCAGAAAUAUAUCCAAAGAUUGUACCUGUCUUUGGGAUCCAUGGCAAGCAAACUUGAAAUGAUGUCGAUAGCUUCUGGAUAGUGAUCUACAGCAAAGAGAUCCAUUUUACCAGACACAAUGUUCAUGUCACGCUCCAGUCGGCCUCCAAAUGGAUGCUGUCCGCCAGUGACGCAGAAGUAAAGGAGGCAACCAACGCUGAACAUAUCUACAGCUCGAGUUUGCCGCUCGCCCUGGAUUUGUUCGGGUGCUUGCCAGCCGGAACUGCCCAUACCUGUUUAAACAUACGUAAAAUCUUUCUCUUUCUUUUGUUUUUGGCAAAUAGAAUCGUACCAGUCGUAAGCUUGUCAAUGCCUGACGCUCCAUCAUUCAGCCGCUUACUGAUUCCCAUAUCGGAUAUUUUUGCGCUCAGAAAAGUGCCACUCCGAAGAAUCAAGACGUUUUGAGGCUUCAAGUCUCGAUGAACAUAGCCGAGCUUGUGAAGAUGAACGAGUCCUUCCAAAACAUCUCUGUAAUGAAAAGCGAACAAGAAAAUAGUACGUGAGCCAGCAACAAGAAAACUACCUCAUCAGUCUCAUGAGCAACGGGCUUGGAAGGCAGGACCUAUCCCACAAGGUGAGCUUUUGCUGCAAAAUCUCCUGGAGUUCUUUCUCCUCGAACUCGUUUACUUCAGUUCGAUUGUCUGCGCCAGCAGCGUGCACGACAAUAAAUGUUUCCAGGUUAAAGCUGCAUCUCUCCAGAGCUAUAUAGACGAAGUCGUUGUCCUGCUCCAUUGAGUAGUACCGCACCACAUUUGGAUGAGUAUCCAGCUCGAUGAGAGCAGCUAUUUCCUUCGAGGCUUUGUGGUAAAAGCCGCUAAGUAUCGACUUCACAGCUACCUGCCUCUGAUCCAGCUUGCCUUCGAGAAUCCUGGUGCCAUGACUUCCGUAACCGAUGACUAUCUUAGAGAUCGUCAAGCUCCCAAUUCUUCCAUCUGCAUCCUGCUUUUUCGGUUGAUCCACUUUCGUAUCAUCCACCUGUUUACUAACGUUUUCUUGAGAGGCUCGAUCACCCUUCGGACCUCUGCGUUUCUUCCGCUUUUGCUGCUGCUCCUUUUCCUUCUUCUGCUUUUCUUUCUGUCCAAAGUGUAGCACUCCUUUCAGCACCAGAGUUACCACAGCCAGACAUGCAAGCAGUGCACCGAAAAGCCACCCAACUGGAAAGCUUCCCCUGCCGCUGUUGGUGCUGUUUCUGGGAUUGGAUCCGCUAGGAAGUGCCAGAAUCGCAUUUGAAGGAGCCGAGACUGGAGGCAAGGUGUGGUUCUUGACAAGGUAGUCGAGGUAAUACGGUGGCUCCACGAUAAUCGGUGUGAAUUUCGUGCCUUGAAACGUGCGCUUGGAUGGCUUUCCAUCAGAGACAAGCACAGUCAAGCUGGUUGUAUUUCCUGCUGCGAUACCUGGAUAGUCGAUAUCCUCCGCCAAGUUGGCAACUUCCGAGAAUCGUAUCGUCCACUUGACGGAGCCGGUUGAGACUUCGAAGCACGUCAAGGAAUAAUCUGUGCGUUGGAAGAAGAGGGGCUUAAAGUCCUUGAGCAUCGAGGAUAGCAGCGGCUCCGCAUCCUUCCCAGACGUUGUUCCGUUGAUGUCAAACUUGUGGAUCAGAGUCCCGGUGCUGGGGUCGACCACGAACACUGAUUUCAAAGACGCCCCUAUCACCACGCCACCCUCGCUCACGAUCGGGCUCUCAGCAAUGUACUUCUUCAAAGUCUCGUAAUCCUGUGAAGAAUAAAAAGUGUGAGCUCCAGAACCACAAAUAAGUAAAAAAACAAGGCUUGGCUAUGUAAAUUCUACAAGAGCUCGACAGUGCUGGGAGGAAACUCUUCUAUCAAGACUUGAAAGGAAAAACUAGAAAGGAUUGCAAAAGAAUUCACGUCCCUAAAAACGCGUAGCGGCUAAGAACCCAAGAUACCUGGUCGAAAUGCUCCGCCUCGUCGGCAUACUGCUCAAUCGGCUCAAUCUCCACGAGCGAGCUCCCUCCAGACGAAAACGACCAGAAAUACUUGCCAGUGUCAUCGAUCGCGUGCACAGUACCAUCUGGCGUGAGCCUGAAACCUCUACAGUGCGAAAGUACAUCGAUUAGGCAGCGGCCACGACCUUCGAUCGCUCACUUACAGUGAAGAAUCCGAAAAUUUGGGCGCCUGUGCAAGCGUUAGAUCCGCCGCGACUGGAUUUCCCGAAAUUUCACCCGCGGAUGGCCGUGUCGAUUUGCCGCUGAGCCCUAGCGGCACGAGAAGGAGCAGCAAUGCCAGCAUGCUUGACUUCCUAAAAGCCCUAAUCUCGUGAACGUUUUACUUGAAUAUAUAUGUGUUUGACUAUCAUUGGCCAAUGUUUUACCACCGUUGACUGGAUGGAUCCCUGUUUCAUCUAGCCACGCCCGUAGAGCACAUCCGGCGAGCUCACUUCACCGCGAAAUGGGAUCUCGAUGCGCUCCUUGACGACGCAUUUGGAGACCCCAUCCACGAAGAUCAUCACUUUGCCUGGAGGGCAUCGCUCCUCCAUCGCUGGAGCUCUCGGAGGAAUCGCCAGCGAUGGCGUCGGGAUCACUGGAGGAGCAGUGGUAGCCUCGCUCGAGCUCCUCCUUCUCUCGUGCCUGGAUCCAAUCUCCGAGAAGAGGAUGAUCGUGGUAAGAACACCCGCCAUCACCAUCGCCGCUCGAGAGGUGACUCCAACCCCGGGGCCGAAGAGCCGGCCAGCAAAUCUUCGCAGGUCCAAGCCCAGCUUGAUCGGGAUCCCGAGAAAGUUCGCCAUGAACGUCUUGUGGAUCUCUCCUCGAUCGCCGUGCUGUUCUUCGAUUCUAAUCGGCUCUCCAGCCUGCGUGAUCCGCGCUGGAGACUUCUCUUGCUCGAUCCCCACGGGCUCUCCAGCGAACGCCAGAGCUUCGUGGAUGAUCUCCCAUUCCUUGCCAUGGUGGCUUCUUAGCCGGCUGAGAAGAAUCAAUCGGCUCUCCUCCAGCUCCGCGAGCGCUGUGUCUCGAUCCAUCCUUUGCUGCUGCUGGAGAGCCUGGAAUUCGACAUCCAGAGCGAUCAAUCCAUGGACCAAUUAAAGGCUUCUUCUCUUUACCUGGAGACACUCGAGCUGUUCUUCCAAGGCCUCGAGCGCAUCGCGAAUAGCGCCCAGGCUCUUCGCCUCGGCAUUCGGCUCUCCGAGAAGACCUACAUUUGACCCUUGCUCCUCCUCCUCCUCCUCGCCUCGAUCUCGAGCAGCGCUGCUAACAGAGGAAUCUCGCGCCUUACCAGCAGUGAGGAGGAACUCCGAUUUGAGCGCGCGCUCGAUGGCAUCGUUGAUCCGCGUGUGGAGAUCCGAGGCGCGUUGGAGCACCACACUGAUCUCAUCAGGCUCCAUAAACCCUAGCCAAGCAUAUGUCGAAUAUUCUGGUGCCUUGGCUCCGCAUGGUCUCUAAGCAGUACAACCUUGUUAAGAUUGUCACUGAUUUACUCUUUUAAACUUUUGGUUUUAGAUUUUCCCAGCUAAAAGUGAGUUAUAAAUGAAGACAAAUAAAUUGAAACGAAUUGAAAAGAAUUGAAAAGAAUUCAAACUAUUAAAUGAAGACAAAAAAUUUAAAAUGAAUUAAAACAAAGAAAAUGAUUGGCCCAGAAAUACUUUGAGCAGUGUUUUAGGGUUCUAGAAUAUGGGCAUAAAAUGGCUGUAAAUGCCAUUUUUUCAUUUUAAUUCGUUUUAAUUUGUUUUAAUUCGUUUUUCUUCAUUUGAUUUCAUUUAAUUUCAUUUGAUUUUGUCUGAAUUCUUUUAAAUGCAUUUCAAUUUAUUUCAAUUUUAAAAUAAUUUUUACUAAUUAAACACCAUAUUUUACUUUGAUACAAUAUCCAGAAAAAAUGAAUAAGGAUGAGGAAAAAAAACAAACAAACUAGUAGUUCACUAAAUACUAAAUUUGUGAAUAUCUUUAAAACAUACUUUAGAUAAUAUUAUAAGGCAUCAAACAGUUUCUCUAAAUAGCCCUUAUUGCAUGAAGUAAUAAUAAAUCUAUACAUAAAACUAUAUAGAUAACUGAUAUUUGUUUCAAUGCAUUACCCACAACUUGAAAAAAUAAUCUUUGAUGGAUUUGAACAGCUUUGAGAUGUCUCUCUAGGUCUCAUGGAUGUCUUCUCUCAUUUCACAUCUAACCAACCAUAAAUGAAACAUUGUUCACAUUUAGUUUGAAAUGGAAAGAAUAAUGGUAUACCAUUCUAAGCAAGGGAUUUCUGGUUUAUUUAAGCAAAAUCUGUAUGGGGAUUAAGAUGGUAGUGAUAGAAUAUGCUUAGAUAUUCUGGGAUAUUUUACCAUCCAAUGGUUAUACUUAAUUUAUAUUUGAUUUAUAAAUUAUAAACACCUUUAUAAUUAUUAAUCAAUUGGAUUAUUAAAAAACUAAAUAAUAAAUAUAUUAUUAUUAAGUAAACCAAGUGUUGUUGCAUGCACUAUACAGCAAAUUAUUAAUAUAUAAAUAAUUUAAAAAUGUUUUAGUUAUUAUUUAAACCAUUGAGAUUUCAAUAAUUUCAACCAUAAAACUAAAACUUUACUUAAUCACUCCUACUAUUAGUUUAUGUUUCUCAUAUAAAUUACUAGUUAUGUAAAAGAAAUAUUUAGAAAUUUAUGUUAUACUUAGUAAUUACAAUUAUAUUCUUGCAUAAUAUCAUCACUCUCCACACUAGAAAUAUAAAAAUAAAUAUUUUAAAUUAUUCAAUAUAUGCAUGUAUGGUAUAUGGAAGUGUCUAUUAGCCCAAAAAACUUAGUUUAUAUAUAGGAGCAAUAGUACUCUAAUUAUUAAUAUAUGGCAUUGUAGCUAUAUACUUGAAUCUCACAUCAUCCCCUCUCAGAAAAAUGGAAAGUAGUCAAGGUUCUUUAGCUAAUGGGCUGUGAUCUGGAGGAACAUUAAGAGGCACUAAUGGAUUUGAAAGUGGUGUUAGUUGCUUCUAAUCCUUUUAUAUGAAGCAUUUUAGUCAUUACAUAUGCAUAACUUUUGGAGGAUUAACAUGUUGAAUGUUAUACCAAACUUUAUAAACUUGUGGUAAAACUUGUUACAACAUCUAAUAUGGCCCCUUCUAUUGAACAAAGAGUGUUUAAGAUAAACCACAUACCAUAAGUUUUUAAAAAUAGACUAACACUAAUAUGAGACACAAAUCCCAAAGCCCAGAAAAGGAGCCAAAAGGGUGCCACAUGGCAAUGGCUGAAGCGGAAGCCAAACGGGAGUAGUAUAUUUGGAGUAAGAGCCCCGACUCAAAAAAUUGAGAGUGGGAGUGGAACUCUCAACAAAGGGCUCAAGGAAUGAGCACGAAGCAAGUAACAAGUGAGUUUCUAGAAAAAGGACAACAGGACCAACACAAGACACGUGAAAGUGUCAAAAAAGGAGUCUCCAAAGGAACAAAAGUUCUAAAAAAUAUAGUAGGGAGAGUGUGGGGGUUAGACCCCAAUGGAGCUAGUUUGGCCAAGAAAGGCCAGUUUAGCUUUAAGUAUAAGUUGGUGCACUAGCAUGGAGAGUCAUGCCAGGCAUCCUGUGUGGUGCUGUUUGUAGAUGCAUAUAUGGAGGUUAGGUUCAAGUCCCAACUCUUUAGUGCUUGGGUUUUCAUUAGGGUGAGGUGAUGGUUUGGAAUAUGAGGACACUUAUUUUUCAGUAGUUAUAAACUCUUAAUAAGGAGACUAGCUUGGGCAUAUCACCAAGCAGGGGAUGCCUCGAAGUCGUGAUGCAUGAUUAGAUUGCUUAGUGUGGCCCGAUAUAUAUAAUUUGAACAUUUUGGUGCGAGUGGCAUCAAGGAUGUGGUGAAUGAGAUGGGGGCAUCUAGUUUCAGUUGCUAUGGACCCUUGGCUAGAAGAGCUAAAUUGAGUGCACCACCAAGUGUGGGGGAUGCUUCUAGGGUCAUGGUUAAUAACUUAAAGGUCUGGAAAACCUAGGACCUAUUUGCAAACCUAUUAAGGUGUCAAGGUUAGAUCACUAGGUGAUCUUAUGGCUAAAACAAAGACAAGGUCCUUGUGAGGUUAAGGAAUAAGGUUCCUAUUUCAAAGUAUUAAUUUUAACUAUUGAUGAUGGUAUGGCUUGGUCGAGGUGACCAAACGGGAAGAACACCUAAGGGAAAUGAGUUGUGUCAAUGUGAUGGUAUAGUGAGUCUAGAGAAAAUAAUUUCUAUAAAAGACUUAUAGGAGGGUCACAAAGUUGGGCUAUAGAUGGAGCCCAUAAAAAAAAAUGUUAAAGAGAUGUACUAAAGGUGAACAUCUUCUAGACUUGGCAAAGUAAAGUCUUUGUUAUGGAACCGAAAGGAUACUUCGAGAAUGGAGGUAAUGAUCCUAUGUUGCUAGGUGUAACAAUUAAAGUAUAGGAGCAAAAGACUAGUGGCCAACUUUGGGCCAUGGAAUUCAUUGGAAAGAAUCUAAAUGGAAAAGUUAGACAAGGAACGCUUAUAUGUUUAAUGCUAACAGAUUGUGAAAAAGGAAAUAUAUAUCUGAGGAUGGAUUUCUAAAUGCUCCAAUCUGACAAAGUGAAAAUUCCAAAGCAGGGAGCAGCAAAGUAGUCAAAUGAUAGGGCUGUGGACAACUUUAACAUAAAAUAUGGAAAAAUAAAAUUUAGUGUCUAGAGUGGCACAAAAUAGGAGAGAGGGUGAUGGUGGCCCUCAAGUAGAAAACUUCCUAGGAUGGGGAAGUGGAAUUUGCACAAUAUGUGCAAUGUAAGGUGUCAGAAACACCUAGAAAAUUGACUUUGACAAGUCAAAUUUAAGAAUUCAAAAGUGCAAAGGUUAUAUCGAUAAUACUUGAGAAUGAGUAGUGAGAUUGAGAUAGAAAAGGUGUCUCUAACAGGUUUAGCAAGAAUUAAACCAAUAAAAGGAGAGAACCACCACAAAUGGUCGAAUGAAUCUUUAUGUUAUAGAGAUUAUGCUCCUUAAAGGAUGAAUAAGGCAUGGGCAGCCUUCAAUGUCAAACCAUUAACAAAUAUUGGCUAGGUGCCAAAGAUGGAAAGGGUAAUAUAUAUUGAUAUUACUUUAUAAAAUGGUUUAUCGUUCAAUAAGGACAUCAAACUUCGUGUAUAGGUGGUGGAGUUAUAAGACACAAAUCCCAAAGCCCCAAAAGUGGAGCCAAAAGGGUGCCACAUGGCAGUGGCCAAAGUAGAAGCCAAACAGGAGUAGCAUGUUUGGACUAAGAAUGCCGACUUGAAAAAUCAAGAGUGGGAGUGGAACUCCCAAUGAAGGGCUUGGGGAACAAACACGAAGCAAGCAACAAGUGAGUCUCUAGAAAAGGGACAAAGGGACCAACAUAGGACAUAUGGAAGUGUCAAAGAAGGAGUAUGAGGAAGAGUCCCAGAUGGACCCGAGGAGGAGUCUAAGAUGGACCCGAAAUGCAGUCCGAGAUGGGUCCGAAAUGGACUAUGAGAUGGAUCUGAAAUGGAAUCUGAGAUGGAGUUUGAGAUGGAUUCGAGAUGGAAUCCAAGAUGGAGUCUGAGAUGGAGUUCGAAAUGGACCCGAGAUGGAAUCUGAGAUGGAGUUCAAGAUGGACCUGAGAUGGAGUUCGAGAUGGAAUCCAAAAUGGACCUGAGAUGGAGUCUGAGAUGGAGUCCAAGGUGGAACUGAGACUGAGAUCGAGACCAAGACUAAGACUGAGUCCAAGUCUGAGUUUGAGUCCAAGACCGAGACUAAGUCCAAGUCCGAGUUAGUUCAAGUCCGAGUCCGAAUACUAAUACAAGUUGUUGGGUGAAAGCCCAAAGCGAUUGUCCCCCGGGGGGGGGGGGGCGCUGCAAAGGGUUCCAAAAGUAUAGUAAGGGGAGGGUGGGGGUUGGACCCCCGUGGAGUUAGUUUGGCCCGGAAAGGCCAGUUUGGCCCCGGAAGGCCAUACCCCACUGUUGGGGGAUGGGAUGACCACUAGGAAGUCCAAGGCUAGAGUGAAUACGGACUGACAAGCGGGAUGGCUUGGUGAAGUAUUCAAGAGUUGGCUCUAUUUCCCUCGGGAGAUCAAAUAGUCAAUGCUCCCAAUACAAGCAUAGGUGGCACUACCUACUUGGAUACCUAGCAUGGCUCAAUAGAACCUUGCUCUAAAUCCAUGGCUAGAGCACCUAAAGGCGGAAGGUGGGGAGAGUACCUAUAAGGCUCGCAUAGGGCCACGGUGUUCUAAAUUGUUGUCCCAAAGUCUUAGAUUGUGGAAAGGAAGAGGAAUAGUCCUCUAGUGUAGUGACCAAAGCUACAGUCAUGUGGCAAGGUAGUCCCAAAGGAUCGUGGGACUUAGUGGUCGAGCCUAUGGGCCUUGAUCCAAUGGUAGUGUUGGUGCACACGGCCAUGGACAGAAAAGGAUUUGGUAGGGACUAUGAAAGGGAUAUUGGGGAAGGCUGUUCCCCAUGUUUGCGGGCAUUUUAAAGAUGCUAAGGAGUGGAUCUAAGAUGGUCACUCAUGGACAAAUGGCCUAGUUUUUGAGAAACGGGAUUGCGAUGUAAAAUGGUGCUGGACCACCGGUGUGACCAAAGUGAAUGGGCAUGGCCUUAGCAUAACGGGGGCUGGUAUGUCGGUGGUGCCUUAGGGUGUCGGUCAUGGGAUUGGACACAUGGAGCACUUGGACAAAGUGCAAAGGUUGAGUGGCAUGGAUGCCAUUCUCGAGGUUAGCAAGCCGAAGUCCUAAAUUGGACUUAUGAAUGUUGUGAAUGAGACUCCUCUAAAUGGUUAAAAGUGUGGUUAAGUGACUAAAGUAGAAUGAAAAAAUUAGUUGCUUACAACUAAGUCAUCCACUUUGUACUCUACACCUAGAUGAUGAUAAGAGUUGUACCCACUUGUACGUGGCCAAAUAUUCAAUAAACUCCACUUGGACAAGUGGAAUAAUGCUUGUUGAAUAUUGAUCCUAAGACUUAAUAUUAGCAACUCGUGGUAGUCAUGAAAGUAAACUCAACUUUAUUGGUAGUAUCAAAUCAUGACCAUAUAAAAGUUUAUAUAGUGAAGCACUAACAAAAGUUUAUAUUGCUACAAUAUAUAUAUUUAAAAGAGAUGGUAAAUAUCCAUCCCAAUCCGAAUACUAAAAGUUCAUAUAUUUCACGAUCAUUCUUUUGAAGAUUUGAACAAACUAUUUCACCAUGAUAAGCACUUAUAAAAGUGUGGUGUAUCCCUAAUCAAGAUGUUAAAAAUCCGAAAUGCCUCAACCAUAAAUAUAGGACUAUUAUAUGAAAGAAUCCACUCAAGAUAGAAAUGUUGAAAUAUCACUCAAUUGAGAAAGAAGUACCUAAUAAUAGUCACUAAUGCAUUAGCAAAAGCAUCAACUUCCACUCAGAAAGUUAAGUAAUUGGAGGCAAUAAUAACAUACUCAUUGCCAAUAGUGAAUUGUGGAAAAGGCCUUAUUAAAUCAAAUACCAUUAACUCAAAUAGACAGGAAGUUACAAUUGACUCCAAUUGUCCUUUCACAACAUAAAGGGGAACAUUAUAAGCUUGGCAUUAAACACAACUACACAUAUACCAAAUAACAUUAUAUUGCAUCUCUAGCCAAUAGAAAAACCCAUGCAACUUCUCAAUUAUAUGCCAAUGUCUUAUAUACCUAUCUAGAAUAAAAGAGUUAUGAUAAACAUAGAGAAAGUGUAAAAUAAAUAUUAAAGGCACCAUUAGCCAUAAAUGAUUAUCAUGAUCAGUCCCAACAAAAUAAAAAAUAGUAUUCUCAAGGUGAUAUUGAGAAUAUAAAUGCCAAAAUAGCAAAUCAUCAAUAAAUAAUGCAAGAUUCUUAAAGGCCUCACAAAGCCUUUAGAUCCAUAAAUCAACUUUUUAAGCUUCAUGAAGCUCAUGGUAAAUUUUUCUUUACACUUUAUAGACACUAAACAUCAUGUAUAAUAACUAUUAAUAGCACAAGAUCCUUAUCCAAAAAAUUCACAGAUACUAAAGUAAUAGGCUUAUCAGGAACAAGAGAAAAGAGUGAAGAAGGGAGAGGAGCUUAAGAAAUGGUAUCAAUAUUAGCCAUAGAACUCUUUAGGCAAUGAACAACUUUGAAAUCAUAUAUUUAAAAUUUAGGGCCCACCAAAUAAUAUGACCAAUCAAGUUCCUCCACUUCAAUAAUGAAGUAGCUACAACAUGAUCAACUUUUAGUAAUGUCUAAGAACCAUGUAAAUACGCAUGAAGCUUUUCAAAACUCUAAAUUGUUACUAAACACUCCUUCACUAUUAUAGAGUACUGUAAAAUCUUGAGUUUAGACUUCUCAAGAGGUCAUCCAAGCCAGUACUAUUGAAGCUCAAAAAUGAUUAACUCCAAGUAUUCUAAUACCCUUAACUUAUUGGAAAAGAAGUGGUUGUUUGCUGCCUUGCUUUUGGCAAUUGGCCAGCCCCACCAAAAACCCUCCUUGUCACACUCACCAUAGUCAUACACACACACCCCCCAUCUCUCUCUCUCUCCCUCUCUCUCUCUUCCACUCAUUCAUCACUAUUGAACCUUCCUUCCUUCCUCCCCCCCCCUGACUGAUUGACUAACUAACUAACUUAUUGACUUACUUACCAUCUCCCUCGGGCUCCCCUGCUUGGAGCUUUCCGGCCUGCCACCGCUAACACCCAACCCACCUUGGUCGUGCCAAUAUGGCUAAUGGACGAUGAUCGUUGUUUUCAACCACCAACCAACAAAUUGCCGAUCUAAGUCCUCUCCCUCACAGGCACCAGUUGUCUUCUUCUUCUUCUUCGGGGUGCUGCACUUGCCGCACCUCUUCCCAACCACCCUGGGACACUCCCAUCAUCACCACCAUCAUCAUCAUGAUGGCACCUCUUGUCUCCUCUACUUUGCUCUCUGGGCCAGGAGUCAUCUUCGAAGAGACAUGGGCUGGUGUCUACUACUAUGGAGGAAAGGCUUGAUGGUGGUGCACACUGCACACACUGGCGGGGGAGUGGUCCGGCCAGGAAAGAAAGAGAGGGCAAGGGCAGAUUGGAUGGGGGUCAGCUGCGGCAUUUUGGGCGACUACCCAGGAGAGGGGAGGCCAUGUUAGUCAAUGGUUGGGUCUCUCUCUAAGAAAGAAGGGUGGCACUAUCUACAUGGCGGGCGCUCAGAGGCUGAUAGGACAUAGAAUGGGUCUCUCUCACAUAUACAGAGAACACUCUUGAUGAUAGGGCGGCGUGGAUCAAUGCAUGUAGGGGUGUUGGGCCCAUAGGGAACAAUGGGAUGUCAGAGUGGCCCCUUUUUGGGUGGGUAUCAUGUGGCGCACCCAUCAAUCAAAGCGAACUCGGCCAGCAUGCACAUGAUGCAUAGGGUGUUCUUCAUCUUCUGUUGGGGCUAUUGGCUUGCCUCGCCCGGUACAAGUGUGGCCCAUAGAGCGCAUGUGGCAAGUGAGGCAAGUUUUUACCCAGGAAUGGGCUCUCCUAGGCUAGUAGUCGAGGUCAUCGUGUGUCAGUGUUAGUAGGGUUUUUUGUUCGAGGCAAUAGUGGGGGAUGGUUUCAGUGUUAGUGGGCCUUUCCUAGGUACACUUUUAUUCAUGGGCCCUUUCUUUUAUAUUUAAAGCUCUAUGAAUCAUCUCUCGAGUUAUUCUCUUUAGUUGUUUACAAUCCACUAUGCUUUUUUGCAAGGUUAAGUCCUUAUAAAUAGAAUUUGAGAGCCAUAGCUUUCUCGAGAGCCCUUCUCUCUUGACACCCUAUCCCUCGGGUCAAGGGCAUACUGGACCUACUAGAUGUCAUUUUUAACAUAUGGUGUAAUUCUCCUAGUCAACUGAUAGAGUUGGACCCAAGACUUUUCUGAUACUAAAUGUAAAAUCUUGAGUUUAGACUUCCCGGGAGGUCACCCAAACCCAAGGACACUUAACCCUAAGUAUCUCAAAACCCUUAAGCAAUUGGAAAAAAAGGUGCACUCUUAUUCAUGGGCCUUUUCCCUCUACUUACAUGUAGUUUAUCUCUACUAAUUGUAAUGUAUGGCUAAUGUAUGCAAUAGGAUGGUGUUGCUUAAGCACACUCAAGCUCUCUUGCAUUAACACACCUCCAAAAUUAAUAUCAAAAGCAUCCAUGUGCAAUAAAUGUAGUUAGGAUAUACCAAAAUUAGAGGAGUCACCACUAACUUUUUGAGAUUUGUAAAUGCCCAUUCAUAGUUUAUAGACUAAAUGAAAAACAAUAUUGAUGACUUCAAUUACACUUGCAAUGGUGUAAUAUGAUUAGAAAGAUGAUAAAACAAAUGACUAAGAUAUUGCUCCAUGCCUAAAAAGCAUACACUUCAGAAUAAGGAACUUUAAAAUAGCCACAAGUAAGUCAAGAUCAACUUAUAAAUCUUCAUAAAAAAUAUGGUAUCCAAGAUAAGUCUUAUCCUUAGAUCACUUCAGCUACUUUAGGUUUAAACUAACUUCCCCCAAUUCAACACUUUACAAAUAUUAUAGAUGUGCUUUUUUUACGUCCCCUCCAAAUGGAUUAAAACAUCUUUGAUAAAAUCAGCAAUCAUCUCUAACUUAUUGCAAAGAAUCUUGUCCAUCUAUGCACCUCAAAGAACAUUGUCCAUCAUACACCUCAUUUAUUAAUCUGUAUUUACUUUAGUUUUGGACUUCCUAGUGGUCAUUUCAUCACCCAACAGCUGGGUAUGGCCUUCUUAGGCCAAACUGGCCUUUCCUGGCCAAACUGGCUUUACUGGGAUCCAACCCCCACACUCUCCCUACUAUACUUUUGGAACCCCCUACAACCCCCUUCGGAGGACAAUCACUUUGGGCUUUCACCUAACAGCCUGUAUUAGUAUUUGGACUCGGACUUGGUCUCAGUCUUGGUUUUGGACUCGGACUCGGUCUUGGUCUCAAUCUCGCUCUCGGUUCCAUCUCAGACUCCAUUUCGGACUCCAUCUCGGACUCCAUCUCAGGUCCAUCUCGGACUCCAUCUUGGGUCCAUCUCGGACUCCAUCUCGGGUCCAUCUUGGACUCCAUCUCAGCUCCCAUCUCAGACUCCAUCUCAGGUCCCACCUCAGACUCCAUCUCGGGUCCCAUCUCAGACUCCAUCUCAGGUCCAUCUCAGACUCCAUCUCAGGUCCAUCUCGAACUCCAUCUCAGGUCCCAUCUCGAACUCCAUCUCAAGUCCCGUGCUAGUCCUCUUGUGUCCCUUUCUAGAGACUCACUUACGGCUUGCUUCGUGCUCGUUCUUGAGCACUUCAUUGGGAGUUCCACUCCUACUCUUGACUUUUCAAGUUGGAGCGUUUAAUCCAAACGUGUUAUGCUCAUUUGGCUUUCGCUUCAGCCACUAUCACAUGACACCCUUUCGGCUCCACUUUGGGGCUUAGGGAUUUGUGUCUCAUAACUCCAGCACCCAUAGACAAAGUUUGAUAUCCUCAUCGAAUGAUAAACUAUUUUAUAAAGUAAUAUUAGCCAAUAUUUGUCAAUGGUUUGAGACCAAAGGCUCAUUAUGCCUUGUCCAUCCUCUAAGGAGUAUAAUCUCUCCAACAUAAAGACUGGUUCGACCACCUGUGCUGGUUUUCUCCCUUUUAUUGGUUUAAUUCUCACUAAACCCUUUAGAGACACCUCUUUCUCAAUUCCACUAGUCAUUCUUGAGUAGUCUCAGUUUCCAUUGAUAUAAACUUUGCACUUUGGAACUUUUAAUUUUUACUUCUCGGAGUCAAUUUCCUGGGUGUCUUCAACACCUUGCAUUGCACAUUUUGUGCAACUCUACUUCUCCAUCCUAGGAAGUUCUCUACUCAAGGGCACUAUCAUCCUCUUUUCUAUUUUAUGCCACAUUUGGCACUAAGUUCCAGUUAUCCUAAUUUAUGCUAGGGCUGUCCACAACUUUAUCAUUUAGUUACUUUAUUGCUCCCUACCUUGGAACUUUUACCUUCGCCAAAUCAGAAUAAUUGGGAAUCUAUCCUUAGAAAUACAUUACCUCCCCACAAUCCGUUAGCAUUUGACAUAUUAGUGUUUUUGGCCUAACUUUGCCAUUUGGGUUCUAUUUCAGGAUUCCCAUGGCUCUUUUCUUAGCCACUAGUCUUUUGCUCUUAUCCAUUAAUUGUUGCACCAAACAACAUAGGAUCACUACCUCCAUCCUUGAGAUAUUCUUUUGGUUCCAUAGCAAAAACUCUACUUUGCCAAGUUUAAAGAGUGUUCACCCCUAGUAGGUCUUUUUAGCAUUUUCUGUUAUGGGUUCCAUCCACUACCUAACUUCGUGACCCUCCCAUAGGUUUCUCCUAGAGACUACUUUCUUUUGGACUCACUAUACCAUUACCUUGACAUAACUCAUUUCCCAUAAGUGUUUUUCCCACUUGAUCACCUUGACCAAGCCACAUCAUUAUCAUUAACUCAAAUUGAUAUUUUGAACUAGGAACCUUAUUCUUUACCCAAACAAGGACAUUGUCCUUAUUUAGCCACAAGAUCAUUUAAAGAUCUCAUUUUGGCACCUUAACAGGUUUGCCAAUAAAUACUAAGUCUUCCAAACUUUUAAGUUGUUGACCAUAACCCCGAGGGCAUCCCCCACACUUGGUGGUGCACCCAAGCCAGCCCUUCCAGCCAAAGGUCCAUAGCAACUGAGAUUGGGUGUCUCCAUCUCUUUCACCACGUCCUUGGUGCCACUUACACCAAAGUGUUCAAGUUAGAUAUGCCGAGCUUUCACAUUAAGCAAUUUAACCAUGUAUCACGACUCCGAGGCAUCCCCCGCUUGGUAGUGUGCCCAAGCUAGUCUCCUUACUAAAAGUCCAUAACCACCGAAAAAUGAGUGUCCUUAUAUUCCAAACCAUCACCUCGCCCUAGUGAGUUGGGACUUGAACCUAAGCACUAGAGGGUCAGGACUUGAACCCAACCUCCGUAUAUGCAUUUACAGACAGCAUUACACAGGAUGCUUGGCGUGACUCCCCACGCCAGUGCACCAACUUAUAUUUAAAACACACUACAAAGUUCCUCUAAACUGCCAAAUCCUCUCAUUUAACAAAUCUAUGAUCAUGCAUGGACUUGCCAAUCUUGCUUAGCAAGUCAUCUAACCAACGUAACAUGGUUUUAUGUAUAAGCGUGAAAAUCCUUAAUCAUUAAUUUUCAUUCAAAGCUAUCCCUUUGAACACUCGAGAACUACUUCCCCAAUUUUGAUAGUAUUACCUUAUGACAAGCUUUAAGACCACGCUUCUACUGUGCCACUCUAAUUUCACGCGUUUUAUAAAACCAUUUACACUUGGCUUUUUAGGUACUAAGCUAUCUAGAAUUGUCUUUGGGAACUUUGAAGGAACUCAGUCCCUUAGCUUGCUAAAGCUUCUCCUUUCGCAAGCUUUCUAAUUGUUAUAUGGUCUAACAUGGAUAAUUCUAUGAUCUAGACUCUUCAUGGCACCAUAGUUGCUAAUAGCGAUAUGUUUGAAUGCCCACUUGAUUCUCCACUCCUAACUGACAUAACCACCCUUAGUUCGAUUCUUAUAGUUUGGUUCUAUCCCCUUACUACUUGCUUUUGGCCUUACAUAUUUCCUUUAGCUAUUCGCCUCCAGACUAGGAGGAUAGCUUUGCACUUUUUACCAUGCUUUAACAAGUAUUUUUAGGGAUGGAGCUACUUGAGAGCCUAGGGAGUGGUUUGUCAAUCCAGGUAUGCUCACAUUAUAAUCCCACAUACCGGGAUUAACGUUGCUACUUAUAGGCCUUUAUAUACCUAUCACUAGCCUUGCCAAAAUUCCAUUUUUGGCUUUGGUAGACGGUUUUUUCAUAUUUUUGCAACUUUGGAUGUUUGGAUAGCACAUUUUAUCCAUCAUUCGCUAGGGACUUAGUCCCUUAGGCCUUAUUUAUUGCCUUCACAACACUAAACACCACCUCCUAGUGUUCUAGAGUGUUUAGGUGUCCUAAUGAUAGCUUCUUUAACAAUGAACAUUCCCUUUUACGACAUUGACUUAGUAUAUUGCAUAAAUAAUUUAUCCCUCAUAAGAGUAUCUCUAACUUCCUUAUGCCAUUAAGAAGUCUUGGGUAACUAUCUUUUACUAGUUUAAUCAAUUCUUUUGCACAUUUUGCUUAGUUGCCUCAUAGUUGUCAAAUCCUACAAUUCAUUGCUGGUGUUUCUAAACUUCCAUCAUUAUUUAAGUCACCACACUCCAAUUGCAUGUCUUCCAGUUUAGGCUAUGCCAUUCCCAUUUCCAUUAGGAUUCCUUUGAGAAGGGGUUCUUGUGAACUUACCAACUUGACCUCAAGGCAUCAUACUUUGGCACAUUCGAUGUUUCCACACUAUCAACUCCACGAGCUUACCUUUAUGACACUUUUUAUUUGUGUCUAGGUCUUUGCCAAGACCAAUACAAUCAUUUCUCAUGCCAACUAUCCAUUCACACUGCACCAUAUAAUUUAUAUACAACUUUGUGUUAAAGUUGUUUUCUUUUGAGAACUUCUUUCCCACGACUUUAGUAUAGCUCAUUCUACCAUCAAUGAGAUACCCACUAUUAUUAUACUUGGAUUUUAUAAUCCUCCCCCUCCUUCGUGGGGUACAACACACCUCCGUCCAAAUGCUUCCACCAGUUCUUUAGGACGAUUCUUUGACUCCACUUGAAUCAUCUAGCUUUAUGAACUUCAUUAAUCAAAUGACCUAUAAAGUCUUAUUUUUGAGGUGCCAACUCACUAGAAUAUAACUUCGUGUAUUCAUGUCCUACUCAUAAGGACCAUCUUUGCAAAUUUUAUUCUAACACUCGAUUAUUUUCCACUCUCUGUGUGCUGCCUUUGCCCUUUAGAACUAUCUGUCCAUAUAAUGAGAAUACCGACUCAUCCUUUGAGCACACCCCCAACUCCUUGGGUUUGAUCCAGCAUUUAUAAAAGGUAGCCCUAACUACCAUUUCAAAGAUUUGUGUCCUCAUCUGUAUUUGACCUCUCAUAGUCAUUAAUUCUGGUUUCAAAUUUAUGAGCACCAGCCUCAACUAUAUGAGGAUAAUCUUGUGACUCCUUUAUUGUUUUGAAGUUUUUAUCUUUCCUGUGAUCCUAACUAUAGUUUUUUACCACAACCACAUUAGCUAGUUUGCUAAGUCAAACGCUCAUUUGGAUCAUAUUCUCAACUCUCUAAGAAAAACUUUAUAUUAUUCCCAAGAUCCCAAAGUCGUUCCAUUAUUGGCCCUUUUCUAUCCACCACCUCAUAUACAAGUUCACAUAUAAACUGUAGUGGAGAGUCAUGUCCUCCCGACAUGCUACUCCUCAAGGAUAAGCCCAUUCCUAGGAUCUUUUGAUGUCAACACAAGUGGUGAUAUAUUUGAGCACCAAUAAAAGUCGAACUAAGGAACAGCUUCGAUACCAAAUUGUAAGCGAUUAAAUUUUUCAUUCUACUUUAGUCACUUAACCACACCUCCAACCACUUGGAGGAGUCUCACUCACAACCUCCAUAAGUCCUAUCCCGGACUUGGGCUUGUUAGCCCCGAGAAUGGCAUCCCCGCCACUCAACUUUUGCACUUGGUCGAAGUGCUCCACGUGUCCAAUCCCAUGACUGACACCCCAAGGUACCACCGACAUAUCAACCCAUUACACUAAGGCUAUGCCCCUUGACCUUGGUCACACUGGUGGUCUAACACCACUUACAUCACAAUCCCGUCUCUCAAAGACUGGGCCAUCCAUCCAUGAGUGAUCAUCCCAAAUCCACUCCUUAUCAUCCUUAGGAUGCUCGCAGACAUGGGGAAUAACCUUCCCCAAUAUCCCUUUUUUGGUCCCCACCAAGUCCCUUUCUAUCCAUGGCCGUGUUCACCAACACUGCCAUUAGAUUAAGGCCCACAGGCUUGACCACUAAAUCUCACGGUCCUCUGGGACUUCCUCCCCAUAUGAUUGUAUCUUUGGUCUCUACACUAGAGGACUGCUCCUCUUCCUUUCCAUAGUCUGGGACAUUAGGACAACCUUUCGGAACACCAUGGCUUUAUGCGAGCCUUGUGGGUACUCUCCCUACCUUCCGCAUUUGGGUGCUCUAACUAUGGGCUUAGAGCGAGGUUUCGUUGAGCCACACUAGGCAUCCAAGUAGGUAGUGCCACCCAUGCUUGGACUAGGAGCAUCGACCAUUUGAUCUCCUGGGGGAACUAAAGCCAACUCUUGAACACUUCACUAAGCUACCCUACUUGUCAAUCCAUAUUCACUCUAGUCUUGGACUUCCUAGUGGUCAUCUCAUCACCUAAUAGCUAAGUAUGGCCUUCUUGGGCCAAACUAACUCCACUGGGAUGCAACCCCCACACUCUCCCUAUUAUACUUUUGGAACCCCCUACAGUCCCCCCCCCCCCCUCCCCCAGGGGGACGAUCACUUUGGGCUUUCACCCAACAGCCUAUAUUAGUAUUUAGACUCGGAAUCGAACUCAGAUUCGGUCUCGGUCUCGGUUUCGGACUCGGACUCGGUCUCGGUCUUAGUCUCGGUCUCGGUUCCAUCUUAGGCUCCAUCUCAGACUCCAUCUUAGGUCAUCUCGGAAUCCCUCUCAGACUCCAUCUCGGGUCCAUCUCGGACUCCAUCUCAAGUCCAUCUUGGACUCCAUCUUGAGUCCCAUUUCGGACUCCAUCUCAGGUCCCAUCUCGGACUCCAUCUCAGGUCCAUCUCAGACUCUAUCUUGGGUCCAUCUUGGACUCCAUCUCGGGUCCAUCUCAGACUCCAUCUCGGGUCCCAUCUCGGACUCUAUCUCAAGUGCAUCUUGGACUCUAUCUUGGACUCCAUCUCUAGUCCCAUGCUAAUCCUGUUGUGUCCCUUUCUAGAGACUCACUUACGGCUUGCUUUGUGCUCGUUCUUGAGCACUUCGUUGGGAGUUCCACUCCCGCUCUCGACCUUUCAAGUCGGAGCAUUUAGUCCAAAUGUGUUAUGCUCGUUUGGCUUUUGCUUCGACCACUACUACGUGGCACCCUUUCAGCUCCACUUUGGGGCUUAGGGAUUUGUGUCUCACAUCAAGGACUUUAUUACUUUUUGAUAACACCCUUUCGUAACAUCUUAUCAAUGUUUGUGGGUAAAAUUUUGAUCUCCUUUGAUAACUAAUACUAAACAAGACUGAUUGGAAGAGAAUCCAUAGUUAGAAUAAGAUGACAUGUUGCAAUCUUUAACCAUAAACAAUAGGUCAAAGUUAAAAAGAUCAAUAUACUCUUUGAGUUAGUCCAUUAUUAUAACACAAAGACCGUUGGAGUGAUCUGGAAAGGGAAUAGAGGAGCAAGAUGGAAAUAUAGUAGAAAGUGGUGGGGAGAUAAAAGUGAUGGAAGUAAAGGUAGAGGAAGAAGGACAAAGGAGAACAAAAGUGAGAGGAUUGAAAAAAAUAUAAAAAAGUAUAAAAUAAAGGGGAGAAACCUCAAAGUCACAUUUGACAUGAUUGAAUAACAAUUAAUUUAUACUAAGGAUGAGAUCAAAAGUUUGACUUAGCACCAUCUGCAGCCUUUUGAAAUUCAAACUCAAGAUCUUCUAUACGCACAACUAGGUCCAUCUCAUCCUGUGCACAUGCAUGUAUAUAGCUGUUACCAUAAAGAAUGAAAAUUAGUUCUGCCGCAUGAUACAAUUGUAGAUAGCAACAUGUGAUAACAGGUUGAGCAAUAAAAGAUAAUUUCAAACUUGUAUCAACCAACAAAGAGAAAAUAAUAUAAGCUCAUUUUUCUAGAAUAAGUUUGAAAAAUAAACACUAGAUAAACUGGUGUCGAAUGAACCCCUUAAUGGUGCUCUUGAAAGAAGGAUGGAGGUGUCGUGAAUAUAACUUCGGGUAUUGAAAGUUAUCUGUUGGCUAGUCCUUUCGGAUAUUCUUUCCUUACUGCCAUGAUGGCAGGAGGUUGAUAUUGCUGAACCCAUUAUUAGUUUCUGCCUAAGCUAGUUGAAAAAUUGGUCUUCAUAUGUGCACUUGACCAGAUGAGCAUAAGGACGGAAUUCCUAAGUGCUCUUAAUCAAGCAUACUUGACCUAGUUAGAGAAAUUCAUUCUUUGACUUACACUUGUUAGUGUUGGGAACCCCCACGAUAUUGAGCUUGGUCCCUUAAUAUAGCAAAAUGAUAGCUUAUCGUGUCUACCAAACACCCUCGCUAUCAUGCCCUUUGUGUUAGUCUUAUUCCGGUCCCAAAAACUAUUUAUGGAAAGUGUCUAAAUUUGCUCAUUUGGCAUAUCUACGGAAUGUAAAGAUUGUUCUGAACACAAUGGUGUUUAUCCCAUGUCCAAAUUCACAAUUUAGAGACAUUCCAUAUUUAGUAAGUUUCAAGCUUGUCCCAGGGACUAACUCCUAAUACUAAAGGAGGCUUGGGGUGAAAGCCCAAAGCAUGUGUUCUUCAGGGGGGGGGCACUAUAGGGAGUUCCAAUAGUAGGGAUAGUGGGUAAGUCGGCCAUGGCCGACCAACCUGAAGCAUAGUCCAGCUCCCACUUGCGUACUUAUCCUUGUUCUACAUUCGGCUUAGGUCUAAGCCCAAAUCUAAGCCUAAAUUCCAUUCCAUGCUAACUAGUGGAAUACCCUAUCUUUGCAUUAGGCCACUGGUAUGCUGAAAUAACACCAAACUCCAUUUUGCUCUGUUUAGUCCUAGUAUUAGGAUGCUAGAUACUCUAAGACUUUUCCAAGUCACUCUGUGCUCCUGUCCCUUCACUUCUUGGGUUGUAUGCUCAAGAGUUGCUCUAUGGUCUAGUUCCAUCACUCUUUGGCUCCAUUCUUGGGAGUUUGGCACUGUUCCUAGGUUCAAUGGCUCAAGGCUCUGAAACUCAAGUUCCACACCACUGUUUUUUAACCACAUGACAUGUGACAUGUGGCACAUAAAGGGUUUAAGUUCUGCUUCGUGGUGUUAUCCUAUGGUAAAUCAUCAUAGGAUAAAGGGUAAAAACCACGUGCACUACAUUUGGUAUUAGAGAGUGAGUCUCGGCGAGUACUAUCCAAUGAUAUUGGGCAACUAGUCUCAUUACAUAUGCAAAAAUGAAAAUGAUGAUCCAAGUGGGUACACGUUUGGGUGCUAAGACUUCGCAUUCGUUCCUUGGGUAUGGAUUUUGGUUACCUUUUUGUACUAUAAUAAUGUGAGCUUACUCUUGGGCUCAUAAAAGGGAUUGAGUUAUUCUGUUUGCAUGACUUUGCGCUUGGGCUUGUGAGUGAGGCACAUUAGCAACUUAAGAUUACACUUUGAGUUGGCAAGAUGGAUUUGAGGUGUAUUGUUUUAUACGAGUUUGUUCUUAGGCUCAUAAGUGAGGCACAUUAACAACUCAAGGUUACAUUUUGAGUUGACAGGAUUAAUGUUAGCAUAUCGGUGGUUCCAUGAGUUGUUUCAUGUACCAUGGGUGAAAAUAAACCUUCCUUGGGUUUGCUAUGAGUGGCAAAUAGGUUGGUCCAUAACUAUUUAGCAUAGCACUAUUGGAUCAUUCUUAGGCAUGAUUACAAGUGAAUCAAUCAAGAUUGUAGGGAUUAGUUUAUUGGUUCAAGUAGUUAUUGCCGUGCUCUCUCAUAAACUUUUCUUAGAUUGGACUGAAGGUAGUGCGAAUGCAAGCUUGAGGUUUAGUCAAAUAUGAGACCGAAAAGAGAGUCAUCAAGGGCGAAGGAUCAAACACAUAAAUUAUUUUCUCUUCUUUGAGAGAUGAUUUGCAACGAGAUGUUAGCUCAUUGCUCAUGUUCACAUUAUGCAAUCAAGAGUUCCUACCUUGAUGCAUAUUGGAAAUGAUGGUCUUGCAAAUUGUGAGUCGUGGGAUGGAUAGUAAUGAAGUACUAAACCAUUUUGUCUAGGCUUGCUAUUGGAAAAUUGAGGUUAUAAUGUUUAAUUCUUUUAUAAGGAACCUUGUUAUUGCUCUUUGAGUAGCUUGGUGUUGAAUUAGGUUUGAGUUUGGUUGGAUAGAGAGUGGCAUGAGCUUAUCCAUGUUGUGCAUAAAAGUUAGUGGUGUUAGGCAUUGUAAGUCUCUAUUGGUGAAGUGUGGCAUUUAUGUUGCAUUUUGUCGAAUUGAGUUGACACUUGAUACUCACGUAAACCUUUGUAGUAGUGAUAUAUGCAUUGCUCAUGGUGUUGCUCAAUUGAUGAUCAAGUCAUUAUAAUACUUAUAUCAUAUCCAUGUGAUAAUGAAUAAUGUGUUUACGAAGUUGCUUGGUUAAAUGAUGAUCAACCCCAAAUUGGUUGAUGGUAAAGCUAGUCUACUUGCACGAAGUAGUAUUGUAAUAGCAUUGACUAGAUUCGCAAUGGUAGUCUAUUAUGCUAAGCUUAAGUUGGUACCUUGAUUCUUAAAGGUUUGCCCAUUAAGGUGUUGGAAAAAAGUUGUAACAUUCAUUUGUUAUAGCUUGUCAGUUAAUCCAUUAGCACUUUGAGUAAAUUGUUGCAUAGAGAAAAUGUAGUUGAGGCAUUGGCAUUUCUAAUACUUGUAUUAGUGGAAGUGGCAUUAUUAUUUUGAGUGAUGAGGAAUUUUCCUUAGAACUUGAUUUUUUAUGUCAUUUUUCUUAUUAGUGUUUGGGCUUCACAUUGGAUCUUAAAGUUGGUUAAAUGCAAUAUGGAUAUUCGAAGAUGUGGUCUUCAUGAUCAAGCCUUAGAUGUUCACUUUGCAUUUUGUGGAUGUCGGUGUUGGAUGCCGGAUAUAUGGGCAAAGAUGUUUGAUGCUUAAGCAUAUUAUUGGAUCAUGAAAAUUUGUGUUAAAGUGAACCUAUGUGAAGUAGUAGGUAGGAGGAAGUUGGUUGAGUCUUGAAAAUUUAUAUUUUUAGACUAAGAAUUAUUCUUUCUCUAAGAUGGAAAUUUUUUCUUAGGCUUUUCCAAUGGUUAAUUUAUUGAUCACUUUGCUCGAAAACCAUUCCGUUUUUGUAAGUCAGUACAAACUAGUGAAGGGGGUGGAGUUAACUUUGGUUAACUUAAACCUUAGUAGGUAGUUUGUAUAAUGCAAUGUUAACUUUUGGAGCUAAGGCAAUUAAGUUGGAUAGAGUCUGGAGUUAGUGUAAGAAAGUGGCCAUUGCACUUUUCUAAAAAGGGUGCCUUUCUUCUAUAGUAUUAUGCUUAGUGAUAGGUUGCACCUUGCAUUUUGUUAAGACUCUAUGAAAGUAGUGAACUUUCACUAAUCUUGACUUAGUCUUGGUAGUCUUGCACCUUGGUUGAGGAUAGUGAUGUCCAACUUAGUUGUUUGUGGUUAAGGUGUUAGUAUCCGUACUAUAACUUUGUUUAUAUAGAGGUUGUGUACCGAUAUAAGUCCAUCUCAUGAUCAUCACUUUAGUUUCGACUGAGUGUUGAUUAUGUGUAGCUAGCUUCUUUAAGGCAUGCUCAGAGCUAUUGGCUAAAUGUGUUGGUGAGCUUAUUAUGGUUGAGUUGGAUUCGAGUUGUCAUUUAGUUUAUACUUAUUCAUGAACCUUUAUCUCGUACCUGGGGUAUUACGUUCAUGUUGGACAAAUAUAUGACUUGAUGAUAUGAGUUUAGUGUUUGGGUCUUAUGAAGGCAAGUUGAAAGAGUGAUUGUUAGUUGCUUGACAAUUAAUGAUUGCUUGUAGACUUCAUUGAGGAUUGUUUGACACUUGCUUCACUCGAUGAUGAUUUAGCAGUGAUAAAUUUUCUUUAUCGGAUGGUGUUGCGGAUGAUCGUGUCGUUAGACUUACAUGGGUUUUCCAUGUUGGCAUAUCGAUUUUACCUUUGUUGAUUUUAUUUGGUUGCAUUUAGUUCAUAGUGUUGGAUUUCAUUGAGUCUUACACGUAGUGAAUUACUCAUUGAUGAAGUGUUAUUUGUAACUAAGUUUUGCUGAAGGAUUGUUCUCGGAUACUAGAUAUAGUAUUUUUGACUUUGGUUAGCUUGGUUGUAAAAGAGUUUUGAAUGGUGAUUCACUCUUACGUUCUUAUAACUUUGUUUUGGUGUUAAUGGCAUUGGGGCAUUGGGGUUGGGUAGUUUUGAGCUGAGCUCAAAUCAAUGAAAGUCAACAAAAGUCAAAGGAAGUCAAUACAAUCCCCUAACUAGCGAAAGUUUAAUGGCACUACCUUAGUUCGUCCCAAACCAAGAAUUUUUAACAUAAAAUCUAGGUGUUUAAGGUAUUCUAUAAACUCAUGUAGAUUAUUGGUUCGAUACGAACUAAUCUUUUAGUCUACAAAGAAAGAAAAUAAUAUAUUAAACAACAUAAUUUAUAUUAAAAUCAGAAUAUAUUCAAUCUUCUUCUGCUUCCAUAUCCAGAAAAGUAGAAAUGGGUAUAGUGGAAUACUCCUUCACUAUAGGCUCGUGUUGUAUGUAAUGUUAUGCUAUACGUUCAGCAUAAAUAGGUAAGUGGAAUUGACUUCGGUCCAUAUGAUCAUUCCAUAUCAUCAAGAUUAAGCGUGUGGACUAAAACACUAUGUGUGAUAAGUGUAGACCUAAUGACAUAGAAACAUUCGAGAAUAAAUAUUAUAGAUUAUUUCAAGCACUAACAUCACCUGUUGCAAAAUCUUCUAAGAAUGUCCUCAAAGGCACCCUCCUUCUCAAGUGCAAAAACAGCUUGGCUUAUCUCUUUCACUGCCUGCACCAUUGAUCCAAAUCCUACUAUAGCAUCAAGCACAAUCCCCUUUAACGGACAGAAUAACUCCAACAAGAUCUACAUGGCCAUGAUUGAAUGAUGUCGAUAACUAGGGAAUGCUAGGUGAAGAAUGUCUAAGUCAAUCACAUUUGGGAUAAUGUCUGUAGAGCUGUCAUAUCCUGGUAAAGAAAGAGCAGCACACUCAUCAACUCAUGUGGCAUUACGUCAGUUCCCAAUGUGGCAUAGAGCAUGGUAGUUCCAAGAAUAAAUUUGGAAAAAAAACUAGAAUAGAGUUAAUUUAUAAAUAAAGAAGUCAUACACCUUUCACUUCUACCCACUAGUGCCUUUUGUGUCCACCGCCAUACUCGAAAGAAGGUAGACAAAUGAAAACUCAACAAAUCCAUCAUCGUUGUUAGCCAAGUGUGCGAGAAGGCCUUCCCACAUUAGAGAGCAGGGAAGGAUCAUGACAACCACACCCUCGUAUGUCAUGAAGCUGCUCGCAACUUUUAAGGCUUGGGAAAUGUGUUGGGCUUGCAACACAUUCCAUGACGGAGUAUCCCCUUGCGGUGGUGGCAUCCCAUUGGGAAGAUCGAAAAAGAUGAAAUCGAUCUUCCCAUAAGGUGUGAGCUGACCCAGACUAUGGAUCCACUGAUCAAGCAUGUAGAGCUCCUGACUAGUAGCAUCUAAAAGCUGCGUGUAAUCCCCAAUAAGAACAACAACUUCCCCAACAUUGGCCAUUGGGGAUAAAGGGCGAACCUGAAAAUCAAUUAUUAGAACUAAAAGUUGGAGAUAAAAUUCAUACUUACUAACUUGUUUAUACAUAGUUGUAGAGGAGAGCUCUUCUAGGUUGUUGUCUAUAGCUGUAGGGAGGGAUGGGAAGAAUGUCUUAAUCCACCGAGAAGACUAAUGGCUACUCUUUGCAACAUCUAUAAAAAAAAAAGUGAAGUCAAGAAUGAAUAAAAGAAUGUUCUAAAUCAAAGUCCUUACUCUUAUGAAAGGCUUCACGACAGCCCCUUUGGGGGUUGCAAGGAGUAGGUAUUGGAAUCUCUUGUGCUGGAAUUUUUUAUACAAUUUCCUCUGGUUCAAUGGUAUUUGGAUUUGGCAUCUUCUGAAUGGUUUCCUGAGUGUGGACUCUUGGGUUUAGUUGUUGAACUUUAACAACGUUGUUAUCACAGUCAGAAAGAGCCUUUGGAAAAUAAGAAUAUAACUCAAGGUUAAUAUUUCCUAGCUAAGUGCUGAGUUUCAAGUGAACCUGGAUGACAUUCAAGGUAGAGAUCUAGCUUAAAGUUUGAUGUCGGCAUCUGCUCAACGAGUUCAAGGUACCACGGGCAUAGCUGCCUCUCAUAUGUACAAGGACAAUAUAACUCUAGCUCAUACAUCCCAAGCUUCUUGCCUCUAGUCAGGAGCUUCUGCAAAACACCAGUUGUGUAUACCGGUGCACUAGGGCAAUAUUUUAAAUAUGUACAAAGUAAAACAAAAAUAUAAAUACCAAUAUAUAAAUGAGAAUUGAGAAAAUACCUGUAAACCAUGCACCUCGCAAGAAAUGGUUGUCUUGGUUGGUUCUUGAACUCAGCCAAACUCGUCCCACCACAUGGAAGCCAACCAUCCCUAGCUCUGCAAGACAAGCACGAAUAUAUUCUUCAAGAGUGAUACUUGUGCAGGUGCUAGAAAGAAAUUUCUCGUCCUAGACUUGUAGCAUCUCCUCACUAACGGCAAUACUCUGAGAAAUGUACACCUUCUCCUUCAUCACCUUCUCCAUCCUUAUCUCGCAGUGUUUUUCGUUGUUUCACAGCCAAGUGUUGAGAAGUUCCAAGCAGACGCUUUGUUCAGCAAAUGACAUUUUACUCUUGGAGAUGUUGUAAAUGAGUUUCUCCAGUGCUUUACCAGUUCCUACACACACAAAAAGUUAUGAAAUGUUUCAUAAAUUUUAGAAGAAUUUACGAAUGCAAGAACAAAUCUCGGCAAUGCUAUCAAGCCAUUCCUACCCGUGUCAUAUGUCUGCAAUUGAGAGCAGCUUUUUCAACUUUGUUCUCUUCAUAUUCAAAAUUCAUUGCUCAAUCGCAUGCCACUCCAUCUCCUUUUGUUGCUCGUCCCCUCGGGCAUUUUUAAAGAAUGAGGCUUUUUCUCCUUUGAUUAUGGGCUGCAAGAAACAUUAAGUAAGUCGAUAUACACUUUAAUACUAAUUUGUGAAAAAACUGUGCACAAACCAACUUUUUUGAGCUUGACUCUCUCUCACUUGUCACAAAAGAAUGAAACUCUCUUGAAGAAAAGAGAACAUGGAGAUGAGAGGGAGAACAAGAAAUCAAUGUUACAACUUUUGUGAUUGAAUGGCGCUUCUCACUCAUAAUCACAUUCAUUUCAACAAUAUUAUUCCUCUCACAAUUAAUUAUACAAUUAAUAUGGGUGGCUCUUUAAGAUUCCCAUAUCUCUCUAGAUUCUAAGCGAUUGUAUAUUUUGUUAAUUAACUUGUCCUUUGCAAGGACAUAACUAAUUAAUGCUCACAAUACAGAAGAAUAUCUUUGUUCUUUUUUGUCAGUUUCUCCCUAAAUUUUUUCUAAGUGCUCGAACAAAGAGAAGAUAUGAGAGAAUUCUAUUUGAAGUUCAAUCAAGAGCCUCCAAUUGUUUUCUCUAAGAGUGUUAUAGGAGAGAGCUUCCUCUGCAGAAGAUUCAAGCUGAAGCCGGGAUUAGUUAAUUUGGAGAAUAUAUGUCGUGAUAAGGUUAAUCAGAUAGAAAAAUUUAUUUUUCUCAACAGUGGUGUGGGAGAAAAUAGGAUUCAGUGGGAUCUUGAUAGAUGUACAGGUUAGGAGAUUCUAGUUAUAGGAUCUCUAAAGCAAGGAGAGGAGAGCGCAUCAGUUUCACAACCAAUUGUGCAAGGAGUGAAGGAUGAAGUUGUUAUUCUCUCCAAUGACGAAAAUGAAAAAGAUGAGCUUCCUGACAUAGCUUCCCAGACAAGUAGGUGUAUUCCUUCUGGACCAAUUUUUAAAGUGGUGGAUAAGGCAUUUCAGCAAUCUCAAUCAUUACGGUUGGAAUUGAAGGAGUUACAGUAUAUGAGAGGUGAGGAGUUUCCUUCUUCCUAUAAUAGGAAUAUAUUCUUCGAGUUUCCACCGGCCAAUUCGUCAAGUAGGAAAAGGAGUAUGGAAACGCAUCUUGAUCCACAUAAUUGGUGCAAAGUAAAGACAACCCACUUCUCUCAUUUCGACGGAUCUGUGUCCAUAGUCCAUUAUGGUGGAUAGCUUUAGUGUGUCGCUGAGAAAUUCAUUUUUGAUCAUGACAAGAAUAUGUGUUUCUUUGAAGGUUUAGUAAUCAAUCCCUCUAGGCAUGAUGAGGUUGCUACAGGGUUUAGAUAUCGCAAAUGUAGGGCAACACCUAUGUGUCAAGCAUGUUGCGAUGUGAAAAUUUUUCCACGGGAUGGAUGUUUAGGCAGAGUAGCAGUGCAUGUUGGAUACCACCAACACGCAAUAAAGGAAGAAAUUCACUAUGAUUCUUUUCGCAAUUUAAAGGCUGUUGUUAUUACAAAGGUUAGGAAGAUAAGUGUUACAACUCCAAAGUGUGUUCAACAGUUUAUACUAAAGGACUAUGUGGUGGACAUGUUGCUACAAUCUGAUAGCAAAAAAGAGUUCACGGAGAAUAUCUUGGAAGACCUACUUCAAAAUAUAGAACCCGUGACAAAUUUAAACAAGUAUAAAAUUAAUACUUAACUCUACUUUAUCACUAAUAACACUCUUUUUUUGGUAAAAUAAAGAACUGGAUGCGAUAAGGGCAAGAUGGAAAGCUUUAAUCUGGAUUGGAUGGGAUUUUGAAGCUAAAGAAAACAUGUCCCUAUGAGUUUAUUCAUGGGAGCUUGUUUAUUAGCCAAGUGACUUCAAACAAUUAACAUCCUUUCGUUUUUAAAAUGUCUACUCUUAGUCUUGCUUCUGGUGUGGACUUUGUACAACAAAUGAAUAUGAAUGGAGAUGGGGACUUGGCUAAUUCCUAGAUCCAUUUAAACUAUAUGGAACGAGUUUCAGGCUGGUCAACUAUAGGAGCUCAUGUUUAUGAUCACAAGUAAGUGGCUAUUCAUUUUUUAAGGAUUCCAUAUUGAUUUACAUUAUAACCAUUCCUUCUAUAGGUUGCAGUGUAACUUGACUAUAGCUAUAGCCAAAUUCAAGGUUCAAGAUUUUCAAGCACUAACCAUCUUUUGGACAUGUAUAUCCGAAGUUGUUAAAUAGUGAACCAAGAAGAAACCCAACUUUCAUGGUUUCAUGGUAGAUGCUGCUGGUGUUAACUGGUUAGCUGUACGACAAAUAUUUAGAGGUGAUAAAAGUUAGCUGUUACAAGGUAGAGAGAAGAGUUUUGAGUUUCAUUAGGCAAAAAGUGUCAAUAAACAUUGUCGAUGCAUCAAAUUUGACUUCCAUCACGAGUUUAAGCAGCUUUGCCGAGAAUGGAUGGAUGCACCAACUAAAGAGGAGUAUGAGGCAAAGGCAAAUGAGAUGUGUAUAUGGUGGCGUGAAGGAGACAAAGUGCCAAUUGAAAACCUUCUAUAAAUGGAAUGCUAGCUUGCAUGGUGGGAAGUUUGAAUGUUUUAGUGGGGUCAUUAUACUCUCUAUUUAAGUUUUCUCUCAUUUUCUUUCUUUUCACAUUCAAAUGUUGCAUUUUUCCUAGGAUCAACCACUUGAUGAUAUAGCACUUACACCAAUAAUUAAUCUCUCUGAGAGCAAACAUUGGAGUUGGAGAGCUUUUGAAGCAGGGAAAGGAAAAGUGUCCCUCUAUGAAGCUACACUCUCCAACCUCACUAGAUCUCUUGAGCAGUCAUCAAAAGCUUUGGUUCCACAGGAAGCAAGGUUUACUGGUAUAGGUCUGAACUUAGACAAGCUUCGAGAGCAGGUUGGUAGAAGGACAACACUAGCAGCAUGGUCAAUGUUUAAGAUGGUGGAAGAAGUUGUUGCUAGAACUCCUAUGAAAUCAAGUUAUGAACCACUCGAGGACAUGAGAAUAGCCUGUACGAAGCAUCGACAGACAUUUGAUGGGCCAAACAUCACUCCUUUUAGCUCUCACCAUCCAGAGUUUGACUACCAUUUUGUUCCAUAACACAGAAAAAGAAUUAAGGAAUAUGGAGUGGAGGAGGUGCCAAUUGUUACACAAGUAAGUCCAGUGCCAAAGGUUGAAAAGGUUAUUUCUCAUGAGCUAGUUUCUCGUAUCAAUUGGGCAAUUUGAAGAGUUAGUGCCAAGAGCAAUGCACAUUGCUCUGGAAUGAUUGGGAGUUGAGGUCAAUGUCUUGCAUUUGUGCGCUCAGGUUCAAGUUCUUUAGCAGUGCCAUGUUUUUAAGGCUAUCAAGAUCUAGGAGUGAAGGGCCACCAGUCAAGCUCUAUUUACUGUUAUGGGACUGAUGUUACUCAUAUAAGUUGGAUUCACAACUCAAUUAUUUUGAAGCUAGAUUCUGUGCCAGAGGAGUGGCCAAUUGAGCGAAGCUAUAAUCUUUUGAAAGAAGAGAUUGAAAGUUUGGAGAGAGUAGGUUUCAAGCUAAAGACUUCCUUAAAUGUUGCUAUUAGUACUGCUAUGCCACCAAUAUCAACACUAGACCGGCAUACACGACCAGCUAGGAAUGGGAAGGCUAUACAAUAUAGGUCUUCCAUUUCAAAAGGUGCACAAGAGAAGAUCAAGCUAGCAAAAGAGUUGAAGUGCAUAAUCACAAAGGCAAACUACAUCAAUGUGUAAGGAACCAACUCACCGAGGUGUCGUAGGCUAAAGGAGCCCCGAAAGCAUGACCAAAAUGAUAAAGAGUUCAUCGGAUGGGACCAAGUCUAAGAUCGAGUCCAAGACCGACUCUAAGACCAAGUUUGAGAUAGAGUCCGGAAUCGAGUCCGAGACCGACUCGGAGACCGAGUUCAAGACCAAGUUCGAGACCGAGUUCGAGACCGAGUCCGAGAUCCGGAAUCGGGUCUGAGACCGAGUCCGAGGUUGAGUCCGAGGUUGGGUCUGAGAUCAGGUCCGAGAUCGAGUUCGAGAUCGAGUCCGAGUCCGAAUCCGAAGUCGGAUCCGAGAUCGAGUCCGAGAUCGAGCCAGAGACUAAGUCCGAGUACUAAUAUGGGUCAAGGGGUGAAAGCCCAAAGCGUGCAUCUCCCGGGGGGGGGGGGUUGCAGGGGGUUCCAAAAGUAUAGUAGGGAUAGUGAGGUCCAGGAACUAGUCUUGAAGGAACUCUCCAGUGGUGCUUCCAAGUUGACUUGAGGUUGAGACUGGGGCCGAGGGGCCUUGGGUGGGAGUGAGCAUGGGCUUGGGUGGUGCUGGAGGGGCCACCCAGGGAAGUGUUCAAGAGCAGCUCCCACUCCCGAAAGGGAAACCGACUGCGGUGCUCCCAGCUCAUGUGGAGUGGUGCCCCACUUGAGUACCUUGCGGCUCAUUGGUCCUCGCCCUUCCUAGGGGCUUGGGCCUUCCCUUUGGGAUGGAAGUGGGGGGGUAAAGGUACCCAUACCGGGCCGUUAGGCCACGGUGUUUCGCCCCAACGUCCCGAAGCAAGUGCUGCACCCAAGGCUUGGGAUUUAGAGGGUCCCAUGAUCAAGUCUUGUUGUACCAAGGGGUGUUAAGAACCUGGAGGCUUGGUGUGCUUGGCUGCUUGUGCCUGCGGGGAGUGUAGCCGAACCUUAAGUCCAGUCUAACCCGGAGAGGGGGAUUGGGAGAGAUUUGGGAAUCCGUAGAUGAAUGGCUAACACUCCGUUGCUCGUGCAGUGAGUAGCUGAAACCAAGUAGAACCAAGUAGAAGCUGGUACAAUAGGCGAGAACCUUGGCAAGGGAACUUAGCACAAGCCAAGGCAGUGUUGGUCGGAUAGACAAGGUAAGCUGGCAAAUUGGAAAGGAAAAAUUUGUGGCUUACACAAUACUAUGGCUAAGGAGUUUGUUGUUGUGACUAAGUUGUCAAAGGGUACAAAAUACACUACCAAAAUUUGCGAAAAUCCAUCCUAUACCUAUCCAGAUUUUACAUAGCGAGAGAACAGGGGAAAAGUAUAUUUAGCUUGCAAGCACAUUUAUUACAUUUUUAUGCAGGAACUAAACUAAAAUCCUAAGAUCGACCAUCACAUCCACCAAGCAAGCCUUAUAGUUGCGGAGCUUGAGAAGUGUUUUUAGAUUGCUUUUAGUGUUUGGAUCUAUUUAUUGGUCAAAUUUACUUGGAAAUAUAGAUUAAAUCAAAAUUUGAAAAAUGAAAAGAUGUUGGUUCAGGAUGAACCAAUGUUUUUCUUAUGUUUGAGAAGCCGUGAGCUCAGCUCAUAAACUCAUAAGCUCAAAAUCUACUCGGGCUCAUGGCAUUGAAGUAAUACCUUGCCGUUGACAUUAUUUAUAUUGAGAUUCAAGUGAAAUGAAAUGUCUUCCCAUAUGAUUGAUAUUGAGUUUCAUUAGUCUCGAUGAAAAUAGUGUUGAUGAUUUAGUUGUAAUUUUAUGUUAUUAGCAUUUGUACAAUUGUUAGUUAACAACUGUAUUGAUAUUCAAACGAAUUGAGUAGCAAGUUUGAGUUAGUUGUGUUUUAGACGAGAUUGUUUAAUAGGGGUUGAGUUUUGAGCUUUUCCUUGAAAAUUGAUUUAGUUGUAGACUAUAUUAACUUUAUAGGAAGGAGAGUUAGUAAUUAAUACUAGAAUGUUUGAAUCCUUGUUGAAUUUAAAUUGGGAUAUAUCGAUCAUUGAUGAUUCUUUUUGUGCUUGUUAUGAAGUGAGUUAUGUCUUGUUAUAAAUGGAUUCAUGGAAGAUCGGUUUAGUGAUCACUUAUUGAACAUAGCUCCAUUGUGCUUAGCUUUUGAAUUAAUAUAGAUGUGCUCUUUAUUAGCUUUGCAUUAUAAAAUUUAGCUUAUGGAUGUGUUGAGGAGGAUAUUAUGGAUUGUGUUAUGAUUUCUUCUUUAGCAUUGAAAUUAGUUUAUGCAAAACUUGUGAUCAUUAUUAAGCAAGAUUUAACUAUAAACUUCUUUGAGCUUUUGGUUUCUUGAGUUUUCAUGCUCAUUGUUCCAUUUGUUAGAAGUUGUUGGGGAAGGCACUUUGGCUUGUUAGCUUUGAUAUUGAAAUUAAUAUUUACAUCUGACAAUCAUUAGUGAUAAUUAACUAUCAUCUAGGAUAGUUAAUUAUCCUUGUCAAAAUUUUUACUUGAUUAUUGUUGAUCUAGAAUAAUUUGUUGUUCUUCAAAAUGGUAGAUUCUUUCUUCUAUGGUGAUUAUGCAUCUCUUUAUUGAUUGGAUGAUUGAUAGUCUUUCAUAAUAGUUAGUAGUUUUAUUUGAUAGUUUAUGGCUUUUUGCAUUACCACAUGUUUUUUGUGGUUUGCUUUGGAUUGAUCUCUUGGGUUUAAGACAUUAAUAAGAUGUUACUGACACUUGCUUAAACAACUUGAGUUCUUUUGUAUUGUUAAAGGAGAUUUAUUUAGAUUGGCUUCUGUAAUAAUUAGCAUGAAUGGGUGUUUAUUGGUUUUAUUGCAUUCAUUCUAUUCUGUUGAUUAUUGCUUGAGUUAGUUCUGAUAGGUUGGGAUGUUAUUUCUUUUGGGUGAUACAUUCGUAAGCAUUAUGCUUAUCAAUUAAUGAUACUUUGUGUUCUUUGAGUUAUCUUUAGUAAGUUGUUUGGCAUACUAUCUGCCAUCUUCAAUAGUUAAGUUUCAUCAUUGAGUUUCCAUAAUGAUAUACUUGCUAUUGAAUUUUGUUAGAUGGUGAUUUCUAUGUUUACCAAUUAUGAUGAUCUUGUUGGUUCUUAUACUCUACUACUAGUUUAUCGGAUGAUAACUUACUUGGAAUACUUUUAUGUUCUAAUCUAAGAUUUAUUCACUAACAAUUAAGUCUCUAAGCUAUCAUUGUUUAUGACUUUGAUAUUGUCCAUCUAUUAAUAUUUAAGUUUGGGCCAGUAUAGGCAGACUGUUUUCGGCACUUCGUAUGCAUGGUGAAAUCUUUAGUCAUGGGGUAACUAUUGUCAACUGGUCACAUAACCCGCCUUUCUGUCAAUAUUCUUUAUUCCAUUGAAAGGGUGUGAUAGUGUAAACAAUUCUAACUAUCUGUUUACAGUAGUCUAUUUAAACCUUACCGACAAGUUUGGUUUCUUUGCUCAUAAGGGUUAAGGCCUUUAGCUUCUCUCUCUGUGUCUCUGCGGGUAGGGGCAUAUCACACUUUUGUAAGCUGGGUAACACCUAGAGUAGUAAGGGUGGCUGACUUCGUUGGUCAUUUCCUUGUCGGUGACGACCAGAAGGUGUCUGAGUUGGUAGCACAUCUGCGUUAGACAAAGAGGUUACCCUAACUCAUUUAAGUUGAUGUAUUUCUCACAUAGUGUGAUCACUAUGAACUUUUUCUUGAGUUGUUUCCUUGCCGGUGGUCUAAACUCAAGUAUGCAUCGACGAGAACGUUAAUCUUCCCUAAGGAGGGGAGAAUGUCGCAAAUGUAACUUCGGGUAUCAAAAGUUACCUAUCGGUUAGUCCUUUCGGAUAUUUUUUCUUUACUGCCACGACGGUAAGAGGUUGAUAUUGCUAGACCCGUUAUUAGUCUUCGUUUAAGUUAGUUGAGAAACUAGUCUUUGUAUGUGCACUUGACCAGAUGAACUUAAGGACGGAAUUUCUAAGUGCUAUUAAUCAAGCAUACUUGACCUGGCUAAAGAAACUCAUUCGUUGACUUGCAUUUGCUAGUGUUGGGAACCCCCGUGAUAUUGAGCUUGGUCCCUUAAUAUCACUAAAUGAUAGUUUACCGUGUCUACCAAAUACCCUCGCUAUCAUGCCCUUUGUGUUAGUCUCAUUUUAGUCCCAAAUACUAUUUAUGGAAAGUGUUUAGAUUGGCUCAUUUGGCAUAUCUAUAAAAUGUAAAGAUUGUCCUGAACACAAUGGUGUUUGUCCCAUGUCCAAAUUCACAAUUUAAGGACAUUUCAUAUUUAGUAAGUUUCGAGCUUGUCCCAGGGACGAACUCCUAAUACUUAGGGAGGGUUGGGGUGAAAGCCCAAAGCGUGUGUUCCUCAAGGAAGGGGAACGGGGGGGGCGGGGCUCCGUUUUGCAUGCUAGUCUUAGCAUUAGGAUGUUAGAUACUCUAUGACUGUUCCAAGUCACUCUAUGCUCUGUCCCUUCACUUCUUGGGCUGUAUGCUCAGAAGUUGCUCUAUGAUCUAGUUCCAUCACUCCUUGGCUCCAUGCUUGGGAUUUUGGCACCAUUCCUAGGUUCAGUGGCCCAAGGCCCUGAAACUCGGGUUCCAUACCACUGUCUUUUAACCAAGUGACAUAUGACAUGUGAUAUGUGGCAUAUAAAGGGUUUAAGUUCUACUUCAUAGUGUUAUCUUAUAGUAAAUCACCAUAGGAUAAAGGGUAAAACCCACGUGUGCUACAAGAGGGGUUACUAACUUAUUCAUGCAAGGACCCUCCACUACUCAUGUAACUCUUUGUUUCUUAAAAGAAUCUCUAUAUCAAGAUCUUCUACUAUAACAAUACCAAUAGGACAACAUUGAUGUCAAGACUUCCAUCUGAGAAAUGGAAGAUGUUAAACGCUAAUAAUGCCAAUACAUGUAGUUAACCUUAUCACACACUUAAUAGUAGACAUCACGACCAUGACCACAUCCUCACCCUUAUCUUUGAACACAAGUAGCAAUAGCAUCAACUUCUAUUAGAAUAGGACUAUCUUGCAUAAGAAGUAGAGUUGAAGGAUCUAUAGUAAAAAGUGCAAGAGGUAAUGUCUCAUAACAUUAUAUUAGUCAAAGAGUAAUAUCAAGGGUGGCUAGAGCAAAUAUAUACACAUGCCCCACAAGAUCUUGACAAAGUGGUAGUUAUAACAUUCCCAACUUGAUCUACUCUAAUGCUUUGCAAGAAGCUUUGGAAGCGAAUGCCAAAUUGCAUCGAUGAUUUAUAUGGCUUUUGAUGAAGCUAAUGUGAUUAUUAUAAGGCAUCAUCACAAUUGUUAACAUAUCCAAAUGCGCAUUUGAGGACAUUUGGGAGAAUGUUUCAAUCCACAUGAGUAGUUAAGCUCUAUUUCGUUAAAGUGGGAUUUAUUCAGUAAAAUGGGACUAGGUACAAAUUUUCAAGUAUUUGAAAAUGACGUGAAAUUAUAUGUUUUUUGUCCAGGGGCUAGACAUAUCUGGGGCAUGGUGACUAGCGCGGUGACCUUAUGUCCAGACUGAGUCCAUCUAGUUGUAUAAUAAAUCUCAUUGUCAAGGUGAACAAGCCGAAUCUGAAGCUAAAGAAGAGCGAUGGCAUGCGCGCACACACUAUUUGUUUGUUCAUUGAGCGUGUGGUGAGCUUUCCAAGAUGAACAUCAUUCCUAUUAGCCAGACAUAUAACUUAAUGGUGAGAACAUUUAGAUAUUAUUCAAUGUUAUCUUUUUCUAACGAAUCUAAUUGUGAAGGUGUAGCAAGAGGCAUUGCUAGUCUGGAGAAGUCAUUUAACUCAUUUGACCCUUAGUGUAUUUUCAUGAAACUAAAUAACAUUCAUAUUAUUAAGGAAUUUCUCUAGUACCUUUUUUUUACGACAUAGAGGCUUGCAUUUCUUUCAAAGGUGAUUUAGUAAAAGGCCUGAGGGCACAUGCCAUUCUAUUUCUCAGACCGGUAUUAAGAUAUACUAGUGCAAAGGGAAAAAGGUAUUUGGUGAUCAAGUAAAUGGCAUGAGGGCACACGCCAUUAUAAGCCUAAGCGCUAGUGGACACCUCCUUUUUGGUACUCUCAGCGGUACUAUCAUCCUUCUCCGGGUCAGUUGUUUUGCUUUGGAUUGUUGUCUCUGACGUUACUGGGGCGUUCUCGAUAGUUGUUAAUGUUGCCGUUUGUUCAGAAAAAUGAUCACCUGGAGUAUAGUACGGGGAGUUUGGAAGACUUAUAUAUUCUACAUCUUCACCUAUCUCCUUCUCCGUCUCCUUUUCUGCCUCACUUACAGAUUUUGUGCUUGCCAUGAGAACGCUCUUCACCCUAAAAUAUGGAGUUCGUUGUGUUAUAAAAGGAAACCAACACACACGCUGCAAGGGAAUGAUGGUACAUAAAGCACGUAAGCCCACAAUAUGGGUUUAUGUGCCAUUAAUAUGGGCCACACGCCAUAUUAUUAGAUUUAUGCACGUGUGAUUGGUAAAUGCAUAUGUCACAUCAUCUUUGUUUUACCUCACACACUAUAUCAAGCCUCCUCUGAUUCAGAUUCGGAUUGUUCACCUUGAAAUAAAAUACAUUAGAAACUUUGUAAAGGAAUAUUAAUGAAUCUCACCUUGAACCCGAGUUAUGAAUGCUCUUGCUGCAUCUCUUGCAUGGUCUGGCAAGGUGAUGGUGGCACUCUGCUUCCGCAUCCAACCAUGCACAACAUUAUCCACCGAUAUGCUCAUGCUGGGAUCCCUUGGAUUCAGCACCCAUCUCUUUUCUAGGCAAUCCUUCGUAUAUCCGGAACUUGGCUUGAACCACUCCACAGUUACAUUGAAGGAGUUAGUUUCCGCGUCCUCCUCUGCAUCAGUGAUGCAGCACCCCACCCAUAUCAUUUGUUUUUUAUUACUGGGUCUGACAAGCACGACCAUUCCUUUGCAGACCUGUACUGGAUUGAAUGCUGAAUCCGGCUUCUUGUUCCUCGGCCCACAAUAGUGAUCCUCAACAUCGUUAUCUGUCACUGCAUUUCCAGAGGACAUUGUUCCGCUACUAUCUGGUGCUCUGGGUUCUGGCCAAAAGGACUCUUCCAAUUCUUCAUAUACAACCGGCCCAUUUUGGAUAGCAGAUAUAAUCUUCUCCCAGUAUUCGAGCAAAGGCUUGCACCUCUGAAAAUAGGAUUCUCCACCAAACACCAACCCCCUCUUCCAGAAGGCAAUAUGCUGUCUAAUCCCGGCCACUAUACUUUCCUGGUCUUUGAGUCCAUCCGGGUGCAUCGGCCGUGGGGAACCCUGAGGAAUCAUAGGUUCCCCAGUUAUGGGAUCUCUCUUGAAGAGUUCAAUGCCGUCCACUGGCAGCCACACUGUGUCCCAUUCUCUCAUCUUGUACCUCAUCACUGGAGCACCGUCACACAUGCUGAAAUGAAACUGAAGAGGCUUGGAGUGGCCAAUCAACGUUUCGGAUCCAUCCCUGAUGUAACCUCUUACAAACCCCUUAAAGUCUGGAACCUCUGUCAGAAGUGCAGCUUCAACAGUGCCUUUGAUGCAAUUUUGGAAUUCAUCGUAGAGUUGUGGGAGGGUGAGGACAUUGGAUCGCCGGAGGGACUCUGCCAAGUGACUGAACAUGGCAUCGACGUCUUCAUGAGUGUGCCCAACCAUGAGAAAGCCAAGUGUAACCGUUUCAAAUAUGCCUUUGGCAACAAGCAUCGCCAAGUACGUGAAGACGUACAUGUUUUUGUUCUCACUGCCAGCAUUGUCUGUUUGGAGCAGAAGAUGGGGUGGAAGGCCACAUCGGCUGCAAGAACUUCCUUGAGAUUCUGCUUCGUUUGGAUGAGGCUGUGCAUUCACCGGGCGACCAGCCUCGUCGGAAUGGCAUGAGGCCUCACGUGAUAACCCUACAAUCUGACGGCCAACAUAUUCACUGGGAUGGCAUGGGGCCCCACGCGAUACUGCAAGCCUUUGCUCCUCCUCCAGCUGAACCCUGUAUGGGGUUCGAUCGACAAGGGCCUUAUGCAAGGGUUGGCCGUUCAGCUCAGUCUGCGCACUUUGCAGAGACCUUAAGUGUUUUGCUAGGGACGCAAUCAUCAUGUUUGCACCCCCGCCACCCCAUAGAGGUACAAAGAAGUUCCCAUAGUUCUGGGCACCAUGCCCAUGAGCGAUUAUGCCAAACAGAGACACAGGCAGCUGCAUGGAUGAAGAGAUUGCCUUGGGGGCAGGAUUGAGUCGAGGUAAGCACGUCUUUUUCUGGUCCAUUUUGUCGUGGAUGAUGCAGAGGUAAGAGUCAGGUCUCUCCAUGGAGAGAAUCCUAUUAUGAUAAUAUGCAGUCCUGCAGCUUCUCUGCUCGAUGUUGUGGUCGAGCCGCCUUCUAACCAACGUCUCUCGCUCUUGAGCGCUGCAAGAAUUCUUCGACAAAGCCAUUUUGAUAGCAGUGCACUCGUCACACUUUGAAAAGCUGCAGUACUUUCCUAUACUCACAUCCCUGAACCUGUUGCUCCACAAUCUACUAAAUCUAGAUUGGCUCAGCUUCCUGUAGCCAUUACUCUGGAGUUCCCGAUUCACAUCUUCCAAUAUGGCCCCCUUGGUAUACAUGGAAGGGAGAACUCGUUGGGUGUCUCGUGUUCCAUCUUCCAAGAGGCGGGUUUUAUGUGGUUGCUGCUCGCUACAUGUCUCGACAAACCUCUUGAAGAUUGCCUCUCCAUAUACAACAUGACCCCUGGUUUUGUGCGUACCGUCGUUCCCAUGGACUGCCUGUUGAACCCUUUGUUCCUCGAACUCAGUUUUGAUUCUGUAGAAUGUGGUUCGAGGGACUCCAUAAAUGAUUCUCCAUGCCUUCAUGCAGACCAAACCCCUCUGGAAGACCAUGCCCCCCACCUGAUGUUCUGAAGCAUCAACAGAUGACCGUAAUGCCUCAUACACAAAAUUGCGAGCUGCCUUCCAGGACAAUGUCUUAUAUCUUGCUCUCUCCUCUUCAAUAGCAUCCCAAUCAGCAUGUUGACAGCACCUCCUCUUGCAACAAGCAACUGUCGAGACCAUUCGAACCUCCAUCGCCAUUUUCUGCCUUUUCGGUUCGUUGCUCAGAUCCCUUUGGCUGCGCUUUAGGAAGGUGUACUUUCUUUUCCCAUGAAGAGAUGUUCUGUCAUCAGUUGUAGCGGUGUUUGAUUGUGAAUCCUUCACAUUCUCAAACACUAAGUGCCUCAAUUUCCACCGCACAAUGCUUCCAAUAGUCAGACUGUUUUCUUCUGUGUCAACAACCUCUAAAAUCGCAACUCCAAUAUCAUCCCAGCCCAAUUCUUGAUUAGCAACCGCAUCUCUUGGAUCGACAACUGUGGCUAAGCCCUCAGCUACCACCUCCCCCUCGGGGUUGUUUAGAAACACUUUUGCCUGAAUCCAUGUAGCACGGUUCUUAAGAUCCACGGAGGGAACAUGCGUUGCACUUGCGCUGUCCCCAACAUCUGCUUUCUUCUGAAGAUUUUUCAAGGCAACAACAACAUUUACCCCGACGACCAUCUCUCCUCGUUCAAUAGCGACCACAUUCCCAUCGAAGACAGUCUCUACUGAUACAGCAGCAUUGCCUUCCCCAAGCCUUUCACAGUGUAUAACAAAGUUCCGAUCCAUAGACACAAGGGUCCCUUUUGCAACUCUCUUCCCACCAUUCAAAAUGUAAACCUUUUCCCCAACCCUGAAGGCCAUUCUGAAAGUGCAGAAAAGAAGUUAAGACCAUACAAAAAAUGAUUGGAGAAUGGCCUAAAUCAUAACAUACCAAACAACCUCAAUAGCAUGAGGCCACAUGCCAUUAUUCAAACAUGCUAUUGACACCCACGUGAAAUUUCGCAUUCACAAAAUUGGCAUGAGGCCUCAUGCCAUCUUGAUAUACACACAGCUGCAGGCAAGUAAAAACAUACAUGACAAUACGCUAGCCAUGAAAUUGCAAGGGCCCAAGAUGGCAUGUGGCCUCAUGCCAUUUCGAAAUGUGGUCCUAAGCCAUUCCAUGGUGAACAUACCAGGAAGCACAAGUGCCGAAUAUCAAGAGGAAGCAGUAGCCACACCAAAGACAGUGCCGCUCGCAACACCGCAACUACUCGUAGCGCCGCUCGCAACACCGCAACUGCUCGUAGCGCCGCUCGCACAAACUGCCACUCGCAUAAACUGCCGCUCGCAAUGGCGCUCGCAAUGCCGCAACCGCUCGUAGACGCAUAAACCACAGCCCACAACGCCGCUUACACAAGCAGCGCUCAUUGCGCUUAGCGGAACCAAGAACACGGCGCACAAAAAUGAUAGACCUAGGAAUGAGUUCGAGAAUUCAAAAAUAACACACGCUUGAACGUCACAUCAAAUCCUCUGACAAACCAGAUCUUAUGAUUCCUCUGACAAAUUUCAAACUGAGUAGCUUCUAGACUUUGCUGUCGGAGGUUGAACUUUGUCACAUCAUGUCCUUGCCUCGAUCCAGCUGUGCCAUGUCAGUGAUUCGAACUUUGCCAUGCCAUGUCAGCGAUCCGCGCCAAGAUUAUUCGCCGUGUAAAGGAAUAAUUAUGUUGUGUGUGUACGUCCAUUUAUGGCAAUAUAAGGCCACACGCCAUUCAAAGAAUAAUGCUAGUCGAGCAUUUUUUGGUGCAUUUUUGGGUUCAAAAUUGCAUGAGCCCACACGCUAUAAAGUUUACCUGUACCAAAAAUAGAAACAGCUUUAUUUACUUGGGAAUUUAAGUGGUUGAGGCAUUUUUAAACUUACAAACACAUGCCCUACUUACAUUCCUUUGGUUGCCUAAAAUUCAAAAAUAUUAUAAACCUUUCUUUUUGCAUUUUCAAUGUUUUCAAUUAUGGUUUUUGAUUUUCGUAGGACCAGCCUAGUAAUCUAUUUGCAUCCCGUCAUGUUUAUAGCUAGCUUUCGUUCGUCCCCUUCGCUAGCCUGAGAUACAUCUGCUCGGCAUCUGCCUCUUACAGCAUUUGCCCAGAAAGGGCAUCUUUCUUCACGCAGCAUUUGCCACAUGUUUAGGGUUUAGGGUUUAGGGUUUAGGGUUUAGCAAUUCAGUAGCUUGAUAAACAUGCAAAUACAGAACUUGAUGCAAAAUCCUUUGAUAUGUCACAAUGCCCCUAGGACCAUAAACACAUUUCAAUAGAGAGGGUCCUUUCAUUUCAUAACUCCUUACAUAGAUCUUGGUGAAACCAGAGUUAGUGAAGUUAGUUUCUUGUGAUCCCACAUCUGAUUGUGAUGUCCCUUUGCAGUUUCGAUGGAAAGGUCAAUGCACACCAAACUGUAAAAUCUUGGAGCAAAAUAACGGUCGGAUCUAUGGCAAAUGCCCCUGAAACAUUGUAAGGCUCGUGUGGUCUCAUGUGGUGUCCGAUCGAGAUGCUUCUUUGCAGGGUCAUCAAGAAAGACAUUGUAUACCAUUCUGUAAAAUCUAGUUGCGAUCUAACGGUUGGAUCUCCAGAAAACUCAAAAAAAUCUCACGCGUGUCAGAAUAUCCUAGGAAUAUACUCCUAUGUGCCCCUGAAAAUGGCAUGCGGCCCCACGCCAUUCAAGAGAUAAUGCCAGAUGACGCCGAGAAUUUUUUGGUGCAUUUUUUGGGUUCAAAAUUGCAUGAGCCCACACGCUAUAAAGUUUAUCUUUGCCAAAUAGAGAAAAGUUUAUCUGUGUCAUGUGAGGUAGUUACAGUCCUUUGUGCUCGGCAUCUGCCUCUUGCAGCAUUUGCACUGAAAGGGAAUUUUUCUCCAUUCAGCAUUUGGCCCUGAAAAUGGCAUGCGCCCACACGCCAUUCAAGGAAUAACGCCACAGGACGCCUGGAUUUUUGGGUUUAAAAUGUUUAGGGUUUUUUGGGUUUUUUCAAAAUAUUUUGGGUCCAACAUUUUUUGGGUUUCUUUGGUUCAAAAUUGCAUGAGCCCACACGCUAUAAUAUUGAUUUGAGAGAAAAAUAGAAACAGAUAGAAUUUCUUUAUUUAGCUGAACAUCUGCCAUUUUUGGAAAUACAAGAUGCUUUGGAAUAUCCAAUCAUGCAUGGUAUAAAUAUAGCGAGGGUAUUAAAUGAUAUCCCAAUCAUGAUCUUUCUUUUGGAUUUCGCGUGCAUGCAGUCCGAGGAAUGAUGACGUUGCGGAUUUCUUUUGGAUUUUGCGUGCUUGCAUGCGCGCGGCAAUCCAGAAAUUAAUGGUGGCGCCCAAGUCCGAGGAAUGAUGACGUGGCGGGAUUACCAACCGUUGUGACAUUUCGCGCGUGUGAGGUUAGGUUUUGCAUUUUGCUUUGUACUCGCGCUCGCACACUCGCGCUCGCGCUCACAUCACACUCGCGCUCCCGCUCGCAUCGCGCUCCCACUCGCGAUCACGCUCACUUCUCUACAGGUUUCUCGUGUGCAUCGGUGUCCACUCGCGCUUGCAUCACACUCGCGCUCGCAUCGCGCUCGUGUGCAUCGGCAUCCACUUCAAGACACACCCAGUUUGUAACUUCGCCGCCAACUCCGCCGCCCACUCCACCACCCACACGCAGCCCACUUGGCGUCCCGGGAGAUUUCAGCACCACUCUCCAACUGUAAGUGGCAGAGUAGCCUUGCUGCUACGAUCCGCUGCACACACAGUGCACAUUCGCCAGCGAGUCCGGCCUCGAUUGUCACGGCCUCCAUUCGGCUUCAAAUGGUAAGUCUUUUAGACCAAGUAGAAAAUAGCAUGAGGCCACAUGCCAUUCAGUAGCAACAUUGGCAUGCACCGAUUGGGCUCUCGAGUGCAGUCCGGUUACAGAUGGCGUGUAGCCUCACGCCAUCUUAGGAUGCAGCCUCAAGACAUCUGAUGCAGUGGUGAAUGGCGUGUGGCCUCACGUUAUUUCCAGCUGCUAGCUUUUCAUCUGUCAGCUCUAAUUGUUGUGCAUUUUUAAACAGGCGAGGAAUUGCGUUCUUCUUCCAGCCACUGUCAAUGUGGAUGCAGAGAAGGGGGAGGAGCUCACCAGUUGGACUUUCGGGAUGGAAGGCGAGGAUCUGAUGCUGUACAACACAGAUGGUGGGAGAAAAGAAUGCAUGGGGAUCCUCAUCCAAGUGACAGACACUCCAUGCAGUUCCAUGCAAGAAUAUGGACUGGCACUUGUGGUAGAGACAGCGUCCGCCUUCAAGAUCCACCUUGCACAUCCUAGCGGCUUCCCGGAGGGGGGCAGCGGCUAUGAGGAAUUCCUAGAGGGAGCUAGGGAGAGGUUGUCCAGGAGGCCCACAAUUUCAAAGACGCUGCGGGUCUAUGAAGAUCACAUGGAAUCCACGGACCUCACCUACGGCGAUGUUCAAAAACUAUAUUCCAACAUUGAGCCGUUGAGAGUGCCUCCAGUUUGCGAAGCGAAGGGGAAGGGGGUCGAUCUGGAAACUACCCCGAAGCAGAAAAGGGUGGUCAAGCUCAAGCCGACGUCCGACUCUGCUGCUCCAAAAAAGAAGCUACUCGGUGAUGCCAUUGCCUCGGGUUCGAACACUACACCCACCAAAAAGAAGAGCCGCAAAGAGCAGAAAGAGCAAGAAGAGGCAGCAAAAAUCGUCGCAGAUAAUAGUACUUGUUACUAUUCCAACAAAGUAUAUACAAUCAACGUGAGCCGUAUCGAGAUCCAAAGCAAAUACAACCACAGGCUAGUAUCUGAUGAGUGGGUGGAGAAACUGAAGCAGAAGAUGCUGGCAAGUCCAGUAACACCCGACAUCGCAGACGUGAUCCCCUACUACCGAACAAUGAAGGGCGAGACGAGGUUUCCAGACUUGAUCAAUAGGAAGGUGUUGGACGAUCAGAACAUCCGGUUCUAUGCCGUCUCCGGGCAGCAUUCUAGCUUGGCGAUGCAACAGAUAGUUGUGGAUAUUAUGGUGGGCGAGGAGGUGAAGAAAGUCUUCAAGACAAGAGUUGUCCGCCUGAUAAAAGGCAACUCGCCCCUCCGAUCUAUCAUAUACAUCUCCCACGCGCAGAAUGUCAAGCAAGAAACGUGCUACAAAUCGGGUCUGCACGAGACAUUGGCACGAACACGGAAGCUCUGGGUUCAACUGAAGAAGCCACAAAAACCAGGACAAGGACGUGCACUAGCAACUAGCGCCUGGCAGGUAAGCCUCGUUGCAUGUGGCAUAGCAUGUGGCCUCACGCCAUUUCCAUUGCAGGAAUUCUCGAGUCUUCUCUCGAAAACACUGGGGGUCAAUGACACACUCAGCAUCCAUAACAUUCUACUCGCGACAAAAGUUGUUUUUGACAAAUGGGUAGAUGUGCUAAGGAGGUACCAUGACGGGGAAGUGCUAAAACUCAAUGGGUGUGGAGNNNNNNNNNNNNNNNNNNNNNNNNNNNNNNNNNNNNNNNNNNNNNNNNNNNNNNNNNNNNNNNNNNNNNNNNNNNNNNNNNNNNNNNNNNNNNNNNNNNNNNNNNNNNNNNNNNNNNNNNNNNNNNNNNNNNNNNNNNNNNNNNNNNNNNNNNNNNNNNNNNNNNNNNNNNNNNNNNNNNNNNNNNNNNNNNNNNNNNNGGAUCUUCGAGCAAGUGGCCGUGGCGAGGGUGAGCAUCGACACCACGCAAGAGAUGAUGGAAGAGCUGGACUUGUCAAAUGAAGAUAUCGACGAGUACGUGAAGGGGGCCCCCAAGUUCAUCGAUCUGCUGCGGGAUGCCACGAAAAGUAAAGCUGAGAAGUUGGAUCAGUAUCCAAAUUUCAUUAAGAGGGAUGUCGACCGCCGGCUUCAGAAACAGCUCGACCCCGCAGCAGAGGCCUAUCGAGAACCUUACCGGGUAUACGUGAAUUCAGAUGAGGAUCAAAGGUGGAGGAGCAUCGUUUCCCGCGGAGAUGAGCAGGUCAAGAACAUCUUUUGUGUGAUGGACUUCACAAACGAGGAGAUCACUCAUGCAGACGAAGUCAGCUCCAUCAUUGACUUAAUGGUGGGACUUGCGGAGGUGGAAUCUUCAGUCCACUAUAUGAUCUACGACUCCGAAUCCUAUCACAAGUUCUAGAAGGCCUUGAACGAGGUGAAGGCUCGGUUGAAAGGCAAGGAGGUGCGGGAGAUCCAUGGGAUAAUGGCUAAGAAGAAGAUACCGACGAAUGUCCGCAUCUUCACAGUCGCCCUUGUUAUUGGUCCUGCAGCAGAGUGGGACUGGAGUGACUUCCCAGCUUCGUUCAACAAAGCCGAUCGAAUUGAUCUGAGGGAGGUCAAUUUACCCGUGCCUGAGGAACUGAAGACGGCUAUGGAGCUUUCGAAUCCAAAGAAAGCUCCAGGUGCAGCAUGGGAAAUGCUCAGCUGGGUCUUCAACGCAAUAGCGGGUGACUCCAAGGGCAAAUGCGUUGUCGAGUACAACUGCGGCGGACUAUUCUUUCGAGCCGCACUACUCAAGGGUGUCCCGUGUGUUGCGGUGACAAACUCCAUUGAAGAGGUGACUUCAAUGGAGCAUAUAAUUACAGUUGCCAAAGAAAAACAGUAUCUUCUCUACGAACCUGGUGAGUACGCACUUUAAGUUUAAAUGUUAUCUCACAAGCUCUGUAUGCAGGAGCGUGGCCACCCCCAGAUGCUGAAACGGCGUUAACAGCUACUGAUGUUAGGCCGAGGUCACAACCUGCACAAGGUAAGGUCACAUGAGGCCUCACGCCAUUUUGAUUAUAGAUCGUUGUGAAUAUUCAGACACGAGGACUGAAAAGCGCACUGGUGGCGCGUCGAAGAAGGACAAACAGACAAGCAAUAGGAAAAAAGGAGGUACAAAUUAUAUUUGCAAUGGCGUGUGGUCUCAUGCCAUUCCUUGCAGGAGACACUUCUUCAAAGGCAAAACAGGCAAGCACCAGCCAAGCUCAAACUGACAGUGGUCAUAAAAAGCGAAAGCACGUUGGACAGUCAUCGGGAUCAGAGGCGUUUGAUUCGAAAAGGAAGAAGGGCAACGAAAAGAUGAUAGGUAAUGCCUCGCGGUUAUGGCGUGUGUGCUCAUGCCAUUCAUUGCAGAUCAAGGGCUGAGUGAAAGGAGCCAGUCACCACCUUCUGACUCAGAUUCCUAUGGCGGACUCCCCUUCCCCAAUCUCAAUGGAGAGGUACAAUGGAUGAGGGAUGCUUUUCAAGUCAGGGCCACGUUUUUCUCAUCUCGUCGUCUUCGAAGGGUGCAAGAACGUGCAGAAACCAUGUUAAGACAGUCGGGUGAGGAUACGGUCCUAGGUCACGCACUAAAACAGGCUAUGGAUGUCUUGUAUUUUGAGAUGGAGACUCGGCCAGAUGAUUUUUCCAAGAUGGUCCUGGAAAAACAAGCAAUCCAGCCUGAGCAGCCUAUGGAAGAAAUGCAAGAGGGGGAUGAGGAGCCAGAGAAAGAUAAUGAGCAGGAAGAGCAGAAGGACGAAGAGGAGGACAAAGAAGAGGAGGACGAAGAAGAGGAGGACGAAGAAGAGGAGGACGAAGAGGACUUGGAUGGUCCUCACAAUGGUGACGAUCACAAUAACGACGAUGACGAUGAUGACGAUGAUGGCCAGCCUGAGGUGGCCAAAGAGCAGCGGAGGAAGGUCAUACAAGACAAACCAUCAGGUAAAUAAUAGUACAUCCAUUCCUAACCUUUUACCAUUUCUAACAUUGUCCAUGUAGGUCGCAGAAGAAAUGGUAAGUAGAGAUUAUUCAGUUGAAUUAAGAUACAAACUCUAGCCUUUAGUGUCGAGGAAGGAUAGUGCCAAGCAAGGGUCGAAACGUAUGUCCAAUCCUUCAGAAUCAGUAGUGCGCCCAAGUGAUAUCGGUCUUAGUUCCUCAAUAGCAGUUGAUGGUAAAUACAGUAUAGUCGAUUCAAUGUGCUAAUGAGUUUGUUUUUAGUAGCACGGGAGGAUACCAUCUCAAUCGAAGGGAGAUAUUUGGACAUGCAUAUAGAUCCGCCAGUGGACUCUACUUGCCUGCAAGAGUCAUCAGAGCUGGUGGAGGCUACUAUCCAUAUCAACGCCAAGCAAGCUGACCACGCUCCACUUGAUGCUGCCCAUACCACUGAGUCAAUCUUAUCCACGUAUCCAACUGACGGUGACCAGGCGCCAUUGGACCCGCAUGAGGCCGCCCCAGCCGCCGAGCCGGUCGUAUCCUCAUUUCCAACGUGUGCCCAAUCGUCUGACUACGCGCCGUUGGAACCUCCCUACACCGCCCCUGCUGCCUGUUCGGUCAUGUCCACUUUGCCAACGGAGGCACCAGCUGAAAUGGCGUGUGAUCACACGCCAUCGGAACCACCCCAUGCCACUGUUGAGCUAGUUGUACCAGAGUCUACAGCUGAAAUGGCAUGUGCCCACACGCCAUCGGAUGCGAUUGACCCCACAUUGCAGAGGAGAGUAUUUCCGCCCUUCACGUUUCCUCGACCAAAACCCUCUGAACGACCAUCGGGAGCACCAUUCGCUAAUAUUGUAGAUGGUAAAAUUGACUUGUACCAUUUUUUAUGCUAACGCAUUUCAUUUCAGAGUCACGGCGAAAGUACUGUAUCGUUUUUGAUCUGAACGGUGUCCUUUUCUCCCAUGAGCGUGGCUCGUCCUCGAAUGUCACUGCACCCUCCAAAGCCUGCGGUCGCAAGUUGGUCAAAAGAGACAGAUUCACAUUAAUCACACGGGAGAAACUGCGGGAUCUAAUAAUGACCAUGCGACACUUAAAACAGAGGGCCGGGUUCAAUUUGCAAUUGGGAGUUUGGACAUCCAUGAUGCGCCACAAUGCAUUAAUGUUGCUACAGAUGAUGCACGAUCAGACGCGAGUAAUAUUACCAUUUGACUUUCUCCUAACGCAGGAGGAUUGCUUGACUAUGGUCCAUGUGAGGGGUAGCAAGCCCAUCUUCGUCAAGGCAGAGGCUGUAGUGAUGAACCGGACUGCUAGGUCAAGUGAAAUCCUCAUCAUCGAUGACUCGCCGAUUAAAACUGCAGCGAACACGCACACAUAUACAGUGCACCCCAUCUCUUGCAGUAUGGAAACUAGGGAGAAGAAACCGUAUGUUCUGGGGGACCUUGCAAAACGGCUUGAAGCGAUGGUGAUAGAGAACCGGCCAGUCCAGGAGGUGGCUGCAGAAAUCAACCAAAUGGCAGAUGGAACGGUAUAUCAGAAGCCAUUUGAUCGGACAGACACCAGUCAUCAUUUAUGGCAUGUAUAUUGUCUAGCCAAGCACUAUCCGCAUCUCCAUAAUCUGCUCAACCGGAUGGGUUCUUCGACCACUGAACAUGAGCGUGGACGUAUUAGAGAAGAGAUGGCAUUACUAUUGGGUUUAAAUCCUGAUAGUGUGGAGAGUGAUGAAAUUCCAAGAUUAUUGUAUAGGCGUUGGAGGCAAAAAAUAACAGUCUGAGAUGGCAUGUAUUUAUUUAAAAAUGUAACUUAUUAUGGCAUGGGGUUCCAUGCCAUUGUAUUAAUAUUAAAAGACAAUUCUUUGAGAGGAUUUGCAUUAUACUAGAAGUGUUACAGCAUGUUAUUGGAAGUCUACGAAGUUGUUUUAUUAAUAAGGGGAAAGUAAAGAUUGAAUGGGGACUUGGGCUCCACCUAGACUCGGAGCAACUGAGCCAAUAUUAAAAGGAUGGAAAGAAAUUGAACGACGAUGACAAGGAGAAGAGAGAGGUGAAGCAGUGAGAAGUGAUUGAGUAGACAUUUCCUUGUUUAAAAUAAAAUGGCAUGUGCCUCAAUGCAGUUGAAUUUUGUUAUAUUUAUAUACUAUAUAAAGGUUUGGAAACCUUAUUUUACAAGUGGGAUAAUGACAAUUCCCACUUUAACGAAAUAGAGCUUAGUUACACUUAAACUAUUGUAUCACUACAAUGUUGUCUUUUGGAGACAUGUGGGAAACUCACACAAAUGCCAAGUAUCAUCCCAAGAGUGAUAGGUAGUAAUCACCAUAAAAUGAUCAAGCCAAUAGUACACAUCAUCCUUAGGAUUCUGAUAGAAGAACUCUAGUCGAACAUGAGAAUUGGCAGUAAAAGUAGGAGGAGUUGUACCAUGCACCAUAAAUGCCAUUAUUAAUUGAGUUUGAUUGUUUAACUACAACCAUAAAGCAUUAAGCAAUUGCACCAACUACUACUUCAAAGUUAAAGCUAUUGCUCUACCAUAAAGAUGAACAAAAAGAGAAAGAGAAGAAACUAAAAAAGCUAUAAAGAAAGUGAGAGUUUUUAUUAUAUAAAAGCUAGAUUUAGCCAAAAAACCCUAGCUUUAUAUAUGAGUGAGUGGUAUAGAUUGAAACUAAUCUAACAGUUAUUAAAAUCCCACUACACUAGUAUUAGUAUAUGGCAUUCUAGACAUACACUUGAAUUUCACAAAUAUAAAUUUUAUAUUAAUACAUAAAUUACUUUUAUAGAGGCUUUCUCAAUAAUAAUGAAUUGGGUUACACUAAUGUUUUUUUGGUGUUUUAAUCAUAGUUAGAAAUUUAUAUACUUAUUUAUUUAAAUAAUAUAAUGACAUAUGCAAAGAUGAUAUAAAUUAUUAUUAAUUAAAAAAAAUUAUAUAUUGAUUAAAUUUAAGAAUAUAAGAAAAUACAAUUUUUAGGUUUAUUUAACAAAUUCUAUGAUGCAAUUUACAGUAUGAAGCUUAGGUAGCAAUGUGAUAAUAACUAUCUCAAGGAUUACAAGCAAUCUUCGGUGAAAAAGGGAUUAUUAAUCAUGUUGAUGGAGCCUUGAGAAGCUUAAGUAGCAAGAGUAUAACUCUUAGCAUUCCUAAUGGCAACUGUAUACAUACUAUCAAUAAUUGUAGAAGUUGUUCAUAACCAUCUUGAGUCUUGACCAUACUGCUAUAGGACUUGCUGUUAUAGGUAUGCUAGCCAUUGCUCAAGAUGGAGAGUUAAACACCUCAAUUGAAUGUUUAUGAGCUUUGUAGUGAGAGAAAAAUACGAGGGGAUGGAUGGUAUAACAUUUAGCAAGCAUAAGACUUUUAGCUUCUUGAAUAUCUUGUCUUGUAUCUACUACUAUUGCUAGAUGAGUUUUUGAUAUUGCACUAAAGUUUUAUCUAGAGUUUGAAAAGUAACUUAUCCUUUAUUUUUAAAGCUUCCACUCAAUUCAUAAGUUGGUUAAGUGAUGUUGGGAGUAGUUAUGAGAGAAUCCCUAACUAUAGUCAUGCUAAGUUCUACUAAUAUAUCUUGUUCAACCCACUCAAUAUGCUUGUAAAUGAUUAAAUUUUCCAUUAUACUUUAAUCACUUAAUCAUGCUUUUGACCAUUUGAAAGAAUCCCAUUCAUAACCUCUAUAAAUCUUUAUUUUGACUUGGGGAACUUGCUAGGUUCUAGAGGUGAUCUCAAACCCACACUAAUAGAGCAUUUUGUUCAAGUGUUCCAUAUGUUCAAUUUCACUUUAGACACCUAAAGUGUAACAUAUGUGGUUUUCAUGAUUUACCAUAAGAUUACCAUAGAGUGGAAUUAUAACCUUUGGACACAUGAGCCAAUGGUAGUGGAGCGAAACCCAAGUUUCAAAGCUUUAGGCCACUAAACAAAGGGAUGAACUAAACUCUUAAAUAUGUAGCCAAAAAGUGAAAUACAGGAGAGUAUUAAAUGACUCCUAAGUGUACAAUCUAAGGAGUGAAGAAACAAGAGCAUGAAGUAACAUUGGAAUAGUCAUAGAGCAUUUAACAUUCUAAUAUUAAAACCAACACUUAAAAUGGAGCCAAACAAAGCUAGAUUUUGGCACUAUUUCACCAUAUUGAUGGCCUAAUGCAAGGAUAUAAAUACUCCACUAGCUAAUAUAGUAUAGAGUUUGGGUUUAAACGCAAGGCAGACAUAAAAUACACAACUAAAACUAAGUUAUACCUUAAGUUGGUUGGCUAUGCCUACCCAUUAUCCCUACUAUACAUUUGGAACCCCCCUGAGGAACACACACUUUAAGCUUUCACCCUAAUCCCACAAGUUAGUUUUUGAGAUAAUCAUGAAAACUUAUUAAAUAUAAAAUGGUGCUAAAUUGCAGAUGCCAGAACAACACUAUUCUAUUCAAGACAAUCUUUAUAUUCUAUAAAUAUGUUUAACUAGUAAAUUUAGACACUUUCUAUAAAUAACCAAAGGGACCAAAUGGAACUAAUAUAUUUGACAAAUAUGAUAAGUUAUUAUAUAGUGAUUUGAGGGAUUGGUUUCAAUAUGCAAAGGUUCUUAACAAGCCAAUACAAAACAAAGCAAAAGAGAAUUAAAAGCUAAGCUAAGUAUACUCAAUAAGAAACACAUAAGAGUUCCUACUUUAUAUUUAUCUAGUUAAGUAUAGAUGCUAAGCAUAAUUUACUAACACAUAAACAAGAAAGACUGAAAAGGGAAGUAACAAUACUAAUUUUCUAUCGUCAUGGUAGUAAAGAAAGAAUAUUCAAAAAGAUUUGCCAAUAUGUAACUUUUAAUACCCACAAUCACAUUCAUAACACAAAAGUACUAUCAAAAUGCCAACCUUUAACACUAAAGCCAUAGUCAUUCUUACUAUCUUAUUGGUAGUCAAUGACCACUUAUACAAAAGUCCUACCUCUUCAAAAUUAAACUAUCCAUCUUUGAAUGAUUAUUUUAUUACCACACUUUAAUAUCUUUAGAAUGCCCUAAAACAUAAAGAACACCAUCCCUUAAUAUUCUUCUUUUUUAUACAUAUAAAAUCUUUCUUUGUCCAUAGCAAUGCUCACCAAUACCAUUACUGAAUUAGAGCUUGAAGCCCAUCCACUAAAUCUCACUAACCUUCCUUAAAUACUAAGCCUUUUUUUUUAUAUGGUUAAGAACUUUGGGAUAACAUUUUGAAACAUUAUGACCCAAAAACUUUGUGGGUACUCCCCCCACCUUCCACGACUAAGAUGCCCCAUCCAUAUGAGGUGGAGCUAAAGAGGCUAAUAUUUGAGAAAUGAUUACUGCUUGAUUCAUUGAAUGAGUCUUAUGAUCCUUUAUAGAACUACAUACCCAACUAAGUAUAGGAAAGUGGACUUUGGAUUGCAAUCAUAUCUAAAUGGGCAUGAAGAAAACCUUUAAACAGUCUCAGUUACCCUUGCAUGCCACAAUUUUCAAACUUGAAUACCAAAUCAUCACAUAGAUCUAGCAUUCAAGUCAUCAUGGGCAAAAUCAAUGGAUUGUAAAAAUCAUUAAACCUGUAAAUGUUUCAGCUCUUUGAAAAAAUAUUAAAUUAUAUGCCUCAAGCAAACUAAAAAGGUCAAAAGUUCUAAACCAAUAAAUUUAGAAUUCAUGCAAAAAAAAAAGUAAAAGGCUGAUCAAACAAUCAUUUGAAUAGAAAUGAUAAAUACAAAAUGUUCCUAAUACUGAACUUGAAAUUGUCAUGGAUCCUUUUAAAGUCAAUGCCUCAGCUGAAAAGUGAGAAUGGUUGCUUGCAUUACCUCAUAAUGAAUUUUCCCUAAGAAUGGGGUCCUUCCCUAUCAGUGACAUGGCAUUGGAAUUUGGUGGAAGGGGGGUCCCCCCAAAAUAAAUUAUCCCAAUGCAUUAAUAACAUCAUUACUUAUAAAAGACAAGAAAAAUCUAGCUGUAGAGAGAUUCUUGGAUAUUUUUAGAGAUUAUUUCAAACCUGAAAAUCCCCCCUCCCAAAAAAAACUUCCCCCUCUAUGUCAUUAAUAAUUUUGCCAACUGAAGCCCAACAGUCCUCUUACCUGACUAAGUGCUUGAAGAACUGUGCUAUCUCUUUCUUGAACACUCCCGCCCAGGAAAACGUUCCGCUUUUGCCUGAUCUCUCUUCCCACUGUCACGCACAUGCUACAGCCUCACUUGAUCAUGAUUGGCCACUUCCAUCACAUCACGCCAUUUAUUACAGUGCUUUGCUAUUUGCGUUUCCCUUUUUCUUUUCCCUUAGAAAAACGAUAAACCUAAACCUUAGUCAAUCUGACAGCGAGUUUCUAGCUAGAAGAUCAUCAAAUUGACUUGCAAAAAGAUCAGCGGGGGAACUGGGCAAUCCACGAAACAUUGAAAGCCUCAAACCCACAAUUUGCAGUAAGAUUUGAAGGUUUGACGCUGGACUGGCAGCUGAGGAUAAUGGAUAUAUUUCGACUGAAUAUAGAGAGGCGCUGAGGAACGAGAAAAGAUCGAUACAAUACGAUGAUUUCUUCUUCCACUGUUUGGGCAUGGACGUCUUUGGCAGGAGUUGCUGGAGUUUUCUGGCUUGCGGCGCUCGUCUACUGGAGGUCAUGGCGAUUCCGAAAGCUCCAGAGGCUCCCACCCGGGAGCAUGGGAUGGCCGCUCAUUGGCGAGCUGGUGCCAUACGUGACAAUUGUUCGAUCCGAGACUCCAUUUCGCUUCACAAGAGAAAGAGAGAGCAAGUAAUUUCAUCGAUUCUCACCUUGGAUUUAUAAUAUUGAUUGCAAUGCAACAGGUAUGGACCAGUGUUCAAGACGAGCUUGCUGACGGGCAAGACUGUCAUGAUCACUGAUGUGGAGGGUGUCAAGUUUGUUCUCCACAACGAGGGUGUUCUCUUCGAGACGGGCUAUCCCCGAUCGCUCAAGGAUGUCCCAGGCGAGCACGCGAUGCUCUUCCAUCACGGUGACUUGCAAAAGAGAAUGCACGCCAUGCUAAAGAGGUUUGUGAGCUCCACGCCCCUCAAGAAGCAUCUCACGCGAGAGAUGGAGCUCCUUACCAAGCAAGGGAUGAGAACGUGGAGCAGAGGCCAAAGGAUUCUUCUCCAGGACGAGAUCCAAAGGGUUACUACCUGAACAUUUUCUCAGAAGUUUGAUCACAAAUCCUUUCGUUUUUAUUUCAGAUCACCCACGACUUUUUGAUGAAGCAAUUGUUUGGAUUGGAGCCUGGCAAGCUUUCCACAACUAUAUUGAAAGAGUUCCACACCCUCAUGGCGGGGAUCAUUGGUAUUCCUAUGAUGAUUCCAGGAACUCCAUACUUUAAAUCAAUGAAGGUACUCUUAUAUUUUUUAUAUUUUAUUUUUUAUAUUUCAAAACUUAAUUUGUUUUUUCAAAUCAGGCACGAGAGAAGCUGUCCAAGAUUAUAAUGGAUAUGGUAGCUACUCGAAGGGCCAAGCCAGACAUAGAACACAAGGACAUCCUCAACGCAUUGAUCGAAGAAGUGAAACAAGAGGAGAUGUGGAGAAGAUUAUAAUUGACAAUGUUUUGGUCAACAUUGCAAAUGCAGAGAAUGUUCCGGCAGUCGUCAUUGCUUUGGCUGUGAAAAACUUAUCAGAAACUCCCAAAGCACUCGAGCACAUCAGAGUAAGAAACUUCCAUUCCAAGAUUCUCUAGAUCCUUAGUUUUCUAAUGCAGGAAGAGAACCUUGCAAUCAGGAAGGGGAAAGAUCCAAGCGAAGGCCUUUCUUGGAAUGAUUACAUGUCUUUAGAGUUCACCCAAGCUGUAAGUUUUCUCUUUAAAUUAUGUAUUAAUACAGAAUUAACUGCAAGCUCAGGUUUUUAACGAGACACUUCGCCUUGCCAAUGGAGCUCAAGGAGUAAUGAGGAAAGCCCUCAAAGACGUGGAAUACAGAGGUAAUUCACAUAUAUUUAAGAAUCGACCAGUCUAACACUCCAUCGAAAUUCUUUCAAGGUUACAUAAUUCCGAAGGGCUGGACAGUGCUUCCUUAUUUUCUCAACAUCCAUUUCGAUGAAAAUAUGUUUCCAAAUUCAGCCAAGUUCCACCCAUGGCGCUGGCUAGAGGUAAAGAUUAUGAUUUCUCACUAACUAUGUUUUAAUCUGCUACUUAUCAGAAAAACAUUCCGCCAAGUUACGUGCUUCCUUUUGGUGGUGGAUCUAGAUUGUGUCCAGGCCAAGAGCUUGCUAAAGUCCAAACUGCAGUGUUUCUUCACCAUUUGGUCACCCAGUUCAAGUAUAAUAUAUAUUUUCUAGUUAAACAUUCUAUUAACAGCAUAAUGUAUUUAACAGAUGGGAUGCAGAGCCAGAAAAGGUGAUCAACUUUCCGAUGAUCAGCACCAGAAACCAUGUCCCAGUUGUGCUGUAUGAUCUAAACUAAUCAGCCAUUAGGCCAUAUAAAUGUAUGAAUAUUGGUUUGUUUUUGUUUCUUAUGAAUUUUUUUAAAGAAUAAAGCACUAAUAAAUAAUAAAUAAUAUAUUCAUUAACUGAGUGCAUUGUAUUCAAUUAUCCAAUUAAAUAUAUCAAUUAAAUUAAACUAGUAAAUAUUUAUCUCUAAAAUUCUAAUUUUCAAAUAUAUAUGGUGAUAAUAUAUGAAAAUGUCAUCUUAAUUAUAAAAAUUUAGUAAUAUAAAAAAAUUAGAUAUGUACUAUACGAAAUUACAUUUUUUAUGCAAGUGUUUAUUUGGCACCCAUCAAAUAUUGUUGUUAAGUUUAAUUCAAGAAAUGUUUUAAAUAUUUUGCAAUUUAUAUUUAUCAAUAGAUACACGGUAUAGUUUAGUAAUAAUGAAUUGGGUUACACUAGUUUUUCUUUUUUUAAGAAUAAUCUACAUAAUAUUUACAUAUUUUAUCAUAUUUUUAAUUUAUUUUUUCUAAAUAUGAUUAAAACACCUAUCUUGAUUAAGAAUGAAGUUUUAAAAUUAAGAAUAUAUAUUCACUUGAUUGUUCAACUUUUUGUUAAUUGUAAUUACUUCUUGGACUAACUUAGAAUCAAUUUUGCUUAAAGCUUACAUUUAAAUUAGGCUAUUUAAAUUCUAACUAUAUAUAUGACAGUAUUAUGUGUAAACUUGUGGCAAUGAAUGCAUAGAGCUUAUGUGUCCCAACUUGGUACAAUAGGUCUAUGUGCUCAAGGUGAUCCACUAUAUUCAACAACAGCUACUAAGUUGAUUUGCAUUAUGGAUCUGAAAGUUAUUAACUAUGGGGCUGAUUCAUUAAUAGAUAAAAUUUGUCAGGAGUUUCCUUGUGGCCAAUGUAAGAAGUACUCGAUGGAUGAUCCCUUAGCAAGGGACUUUGGCAAUGGUCUUGAUGUUGCAGAAAAUAAAUUUAGUGAAGGUAUAAUAUGUAGGCAGGUUUCUAUGGUGCAUGUGUCAAUGAGGAUUCAAAGCAAUUGCUGAAAAACUGUUGCUUAUCCUAUUCUUCCUGGUGGAAUAUACAAGUAUAUUCUAGGUAGAUUUGGCUUUGUCAACUUUGACGUUCUGUACUAGUCGUGUUUUUAAUUUCCCACGCUUACGUGCCGUGAACAGACAAGCCUUGAGUGUACAUAUACAAGAAGACGUUCAGUUCAUGUAUAGCAGUAUCUCUUUGCAAGAUCUUGUGCAUUGUUCUCUUCUCAAUUCUUCUCACCUCCUUGCAUAUGGAAGCAAUCCAUGCUACAACUUGCCUGAUCGCGUAGCAAAGCUCUGUGCAAUACUUCACAGCAGCUCAAUUUGAGGUCGCAGCUGCAGAUAUUUGUAACCGGGGGCGAAGCGAUGUUACAAGAGAUUAUGGUGAGGCCCCUGCUUCAAGUCCUUCCAGGCCGGGUCCCCUCAGAAGAAAAAUUCAAGCGCAUUACCAUGGUACCAACAGACGAUACUGCUGGGUAUGAUAGUUUUUACGUUGAAAUUUUCUUAAUUAUGUGUUUUGUAGGAUGCUUUCCACAACAUUAUCAGCCAAUGCUUCCAGAACGAGAGGCGGAGUGGUGGUUCUUGGGACUGGGUUUCGGGAAAUGUGGAGGAACAUUACUACAUAAGAGCUUAUCUCGAUUGAGUAGCAACUUAUAUUGUUUUCACGAGUUUAAUAAAAGCAAGAAUUAUGACGAUUUGAGACGGAAGUAGCGCCGCGCUUAGAAUCCAGCGUCCACCGCUGCGAUCAGGGCAGUGAUUCGAGGAGGCGAUGGAAGAAGUUCCAAAACCUAUUCUUCCUUGAUCGAUCCUUUUAUGCGAGGAAGCCCGCGAUCGAGGCCUCAUCGCUGCUGCGUCAAUUGGAUCGCCCAGUCCCGGCGCUGGAUCGCGGAUGAAGCGCCCCG